UUCAAUUCGUCGACUUAGGCAGGUUGUAUAUUUCUAUCAUUGGAUGAGAUAACUAUAUCUCAGGUUAGCAAUUUGCACUAAGAACUCUUGCAGAUAUAUUAUUUCAUUAUCUGAAUAUAUUGAUUUGUUCCUCUUUCAAAAGGUUAAACAAUUAUGCAAUACAAUAUGAUUUCUGUGCAAACAUGUCCUGCUACUAAGCUCAUCUGCCGAAAAGAAAAGUCAAAUCCUGAAUAUAUUGCCUCUCAACCUCACCCAUGGUCUUUAUACAUACUGAUGGUAGCUUUUAGUGGACUUUGUUCACUUGAAAGUGUGAAUAAAACUAAUCUGCAAUGGAAACAUAUAGCGGUAAGACAUCUCAUUCCUCCUUUUCUUUUUCUUUUGUCUUCUUGUGCAGAAGUGGAACAUAUCUUUGUAAGUUCUGUUUUUCUUCCAUACGAAUCAGUUACUUUUCUUAAAACAUCACAUGAAGUCAUCCUAAACUAUUUAGAACUGAAAUUUUAGCUACCAUUGACCUAUGCUGUGGCCAUUGGACCUUUGGCAUGCUAUUUUUGUCCCUUAAUUUGGUUUGUCCUCUUAGCUAGAGGCACUAUAGCUAGGUUCUCUCUUUAGGAGCACUAAUGCAUUUUGGGGAAGUAGGGUAUCUCUCCUUAGGUGUGCGAAUUCAGGCACUAAAAACCAUAUACUUCUGUUAUAGUUUUUUUCUACAAUUGAAAUAGUUAUUGAUAACAAAAAUAUGCUUAACAUGCUACAUACAUAGUCAUAUAACUAAAAUGUGAUAAUUCAAAUUGAAGCCAAUGUACCAUUGGAGCAACUACUGUGUUCCAAAACUCAUAUAUUUUAUUACAACAGCCAAGUAGGCUUUCAGUUAUUGACAGCCAGUUGGGGAUAAUAGGAUAAUAUCGAAUGAGGUAGUUUUUAGUGUAGGAACUACGAUCCAUUGAUAAUGUUUCGCUGAAUGCAAAUUAAAGGAGGCUUAAGUGUCUACACAGAUGUCUCCAGAUUUUUACUAUAAAGUGCCAGGGUAGAAUGAAAAAAGCUUGACUAUGUGAAGUUAUUUUUUUUCUCAGCUACCUGUGUUCCAAACUCAGAGAGUUCAUUUCAACAGCCAUAUCUUCCCCCUUGCCCAGUCCUAAUUAUUUGUUGUGUUCAUUCUUUCAUGCUGGCUCUAAUCAAUCUGGCCUGUUGUUGCCAUUUCCUACACAUCCACUAUCUUGCCCCUCCUGCGAAUCAGUCAGCUAACACCGUUUGAUAUGCAUCACUACUUAAACCGUCGAUCCUCCCUCUGAGUUCCGAUAAGAUGUUUCACAUAUUACAUGUAUAUGCAGCUGAUAUAUAUGAAGCCCAUGAUAUCUCUUAUCUGUUCUUGGUUUCCUACUUAUUGUAAGUUCCAUAUCAAUGAUAUAUCUUCUUUCAACAGCCACUUGCCAAUUGUUGUGCUUCUAUUUGGAUCGUAUGGAAGUUCUUUGUUGUUUUCUUGAAGAGGUAAUAAUCUUGGUCUUCUGAAUGCUCACCACAUGUCCACGAUAGUAUGCUACGGGCAGAUGCUACAUCUCUUGAGUCUCCUCAACUUCCCUCCCUUUUCAUCAGAUAAUAUUUUAUUUGUUAAUUUGUUGUUAUCUGGUAGUUAUUUCUUUAUGGUAAAAGGCUACAUCUUUACCUGAUCUUUCUUGCACAAUAACCAAUACUACCAUGUCACUCAAUGGCUAUGGAACUUACUGACAAUCACAAGGAAUGUUGCAUAUCUAGCAACAAGAAAUUCUAUACUUCAGUUGAAGAUUUUGAUAUUGGCUAGAACUUUACUAGACCACAAAUACACAUCUUUACAAUGUCUUCAUUAGGUCAGUUCAGGCUUUGUGUAUAACAAGCUAAAUGGCAAUAUGUUGAGACAUGCCCUGAAUAUAAACGGUAGUAUCAAUACCAGAUGUAAAUGGCUAAAAUUGUUGAUAUGAAUAGUCCAUAUUUUCUUUUUUAUCUACAUUUUGGGCAUUUAGAUAAUAUUUACUUUUUUAGAAUGCUAUAUAUGUGUAAUAGGUACACUAGAGAGUAGAGAUAGAUCAAGAGGUGCGAUGUCUAUACUAGAUGCGUACUCUUCUCAAUUGUUAUCACGAGCAGUGCUGCUUGAGAAAUCAUCAAGUUCAAUAUGUACCUUAUGGGUUAUUAUGUGUUCUUGAUGCUAUCAGCCUUAUUUAUGGUCUCUUUUUGUUCUCAGAUGGUAUCAAUCAAUAUUAUUAACGGUUUAUCUUUUCUGGAAGUACUUUGUUUGUAGGUAACUAAAUAACAAAAACAAUUGGAGCUGAUGACAUAUGGGAUUUCAAAAAAUGCACAUGCUAUAUAUGUGGAGUUUGGAGAUAUGUUUUUUUUAUUUGACAGGAAUCUAGAGAUGUGUAUGUUCACCAGAUGAAUGUUUGUUCAUUACAUGUGCAAUAAUUAUAUUGCAAGGCUCAGAACAUUGAGUUGAUCAUUUAGCUAGAAAAUCAUACAGCCAUACUAGCUAAUUUAUACUUAUAAUUUGGUCCGCCUUUGUGCUAAAUUAUGUGUGCACAACAAAAUGCUAGCUUACAUAUAGUUCUUAUCUCAUGUAUGAUUACAAAUUACCAGCUGACAACUUCCUUUUAUUCAUCAUCUUAAGCACACGCGCUGCGUAGCGCGCAGUUAUUGCUAGUAUUCUCCAAGCGCACGCCAAAAAGCGGCCUGUGAUGGGUUGGGAGCAAAACCUCUUCCCUAGACGUGGAGAACGAAUAACCCGGAUUUGGGAGUUAGAUCGAUCGAGAGUGCGGGUAGGGACUCUGUUGGAAUAUGCUUUUGACCGAAAAUCCUCAAAUUUCAAGAUUGGGAAUGAUAUUAAAAAACUCUUAGUGAUGCUCUAAGGUUGCCGUUGAUCCCUCUUGCGUCACCACAUGAUCCCUCUCCACCGUGGAGACACCGUGGGCGAUGACGACGCGGCGGCUGUGCCAAUGGUAUGAGCUUUGGCGUCCGCAUCUGCCUCAGCCCCUGGUUUACGCCUCCCACCUCCUUCCAUGGUGAACGGCUUUACCUCUACGCCCAUGGCCCCCGCGGCAUUCGUGUCGCCAUCCAUGGUACGCCCCCUUCACCGUCAUGGCUCCUCGCCGCUCUCCCCCUUCCUUUCGUUGUCCCCAUUUGGCUCCACGGCGCCUCACCAUCUAUCCACCCUCUCCUUCUGAUCCGAUUGUGCCACCGCCCCUGGUAUUGGAAGGAAGAAGGAAGCAGGAAGCACUGGCAGCAGUGACGUCGAUGCUAGGGAGACCCUAAACCCUAGAGCCAAGCUCUAGAAUCGAUCCCAUUUUGCUUACCGGCAUAGGGCCAACCACAGUGGUGUCGUUCCCUCGCCACUGCCGAGCACCGCGUUGGCCGUCACCGCUCGGGCCGCCGCAUUCCAUCCUCUUCGGAAGGCAGCGGCGAGGAGCGGCCUCCCCCCUCUCUCCUGUGGUCAGGGCGGCGAGGCCAUCAGAGGCGGGGAGGGAACGGAAGGCGGUGGUAAGGAGCAGAAGUCGGCGGCAACAGGAGGUUGGGAGGCGGCGUUAAGGAGCUGUGCCACCCGUCGCCGGCUACCACCAUGACCCCAUCCAUCCAUCCAUCCAUUUGGCCCGGCCGCCGUGGGCGCCGCACGUCGAGCUCAUCUGGGCGGGAGCGGCGGCAGCUGGGGAAUCGGGCCGUUGCCACUCCCGCAUCUCCGCCGCUGUUCCAUGCCCUCGUCUCUGCUGCUCGCUGCUGUCUCGAAGUCGCGAGCUCGCAAAGGGGAUCCCGCUCUCGCUGGCCCCCGUCCCACGCUUGCGGUUUGCCAAAGGGAAGAGAGAGAGAGAAGGAAGGAGGAAGAAGGAAAAGGAGAGAGCAUGAUUUAGGUGGGCCCCACAUGUCAGUGGGUCCCACACAUAUUUUUUAAUUCUAAUGCACGUCAACGCCACGUGUAACCUAGACCAAGUCAAUACUACCACGUAGGCGCUACGUCAGCGAAAUCACCCUCCAAAACUACCGAGUGAGUCAAAUUGCACCGAUUCAAAUAGUUAGGGGAGGGGGUCGAGAUAUCUGAUAUUGUGGUUCAGGGAUACGGAUCAGAGGUCACUAAUUAAGGGAGUCAAAGUGAACUUAUUCUGAAAGGAAAUGAGAAGGAAAACGGCUUAUUGGGCUUGGGGAGAUAAAAUAGAGUGAUGCAGCAACAACGAUGUUCCACAGCAAAUAGAGCAUUUGUUGCUUAUAUGCUAGGGGUGCAGCUGUCGGGGGUGCCGGAGGGGGCCAACCCCCCCGCCCCCCCUAGAAAAUUAGUUUGUAGUUUCUCAUCUUUUUCCAAAGUAAAAUAUAAGAUACUUAUUUGUGAGAUUAUUAAGUAGUUCACAUUGAAAGGAUUUAGUAAUAAAGAAUAGUUCCAAACUUUCAACAAUAUUAUGAAAGAGCUGAAAUUCAAGUUUUUUUAAGGAUUAAUUUAUGCAUUGAUUGUUAUUUAUGGUGACUAUUUGGCCUCCUUUACUAUCGAUAUUGGUUAUCCGGUCUUAUGGCUUAUCCUUAUCCCCAGACCCUCCUAACUCUUAACCUCAAAUCCUGGCUUCGCCACUGUAUGCUAACGAGGACUAAACACAAGUAAUUACGGCACGGCGGCAUCUAAUUAUUUGUCUUUGUCUAGCCAACAAAGAGCACAUCUCACGCUCCGUUUGGAAAACUAAGAUGAUCAGAUCAACGAGUCCAAAUAUCGGGCAUUUUGGCCAUAUCGUCUUCGUCUUCGUCGUCUUAUUCGUCUUCUUCUUAGCGGCCAUCUACGUCGUCAGCGACACAGAGCCCCGGCGGCCUGGCACCAAGAAGCCGUGAGGCAGGCGACGGCUUUACAGGUAAGUUUUUGUUGUCUCGUGAUCAAUUGAAUAUUUUUGCCGAUAUGCUUGACGGAUAUAUAAUACUUUAGGGACCAAAAAUCGACUUUACAAUUUGAUUAUUUGGUAUAAAUUGUAUCUCUAAUAACUCCAACAUCAAGUUAAUCUUUUGAUACCAUUCAAUUUCCUGUUUCUUUUUUAAAAUCUAUAUAUCAUUUUAGAACUUGUAAACGCUACUUUUAGUCUUUUUCUAGCAUGUUCUCGGCAAAUAAACGAUAUCCAUCUCACAAAGUAAUGCUUUGUCUAUGCAAUGUAGUAUAAAUGAAGGGCAGAAAAGUUAUUUAUGCUAUUUUCUUAAUUGUUAUCAUAUGUUCUUUUAUUCCCUUUCUGCAUGAAUCUCUUAGAAAUUUGAGUGAAUUUAACAAAACUUCAGAUAAUUUGUCUAAAUAUUAAAUAAAACAACAUAUUUAAGAGCAUGUAUCGGAGAACUAUAGAUUUUGCGCUCAAGUUAUCGUUACCAACACCAUUAACUGACAAGUGGUUCCUACCUAUAGUCUCGCAAAAACUGUAGUUUUAUGUGCUAGAACUACUUGUCAGAUAAUUAAUAGUAGUGUUAGUUACCAGUGUCGUGUAAGGGUGAAGGCUAAAAAGUAUGGUUUUUUUAUACUGUAGUGUAAAAUAUAUAUUGCUUUGAUCCAAAAUCCCAAUUCUAUAUUUUUUUCACGAUAAUAUAGAUAAAGUAGCUGUAGUUUUGCGAAAUUAGAUCUACUACAAAAUUUAAAGUUAACAUACAUUGUACUAUUAUUACAGGAUGGCUGGACACUUUAGUAGGUUCGCUUUUCAAGGUACUGCAUGGAUUGUAUUUCUUUGCAUCAUUGGAGUCAUAGUUGGUGCUAUCGGAAUAGUCGUAGCCAUCUUCCUUGUGCGAAGACUGUGACGGUACAUCCUUAUACGCCUUUUGCAUCUACUGGUUGUCACAUACCUUGUACCUACAAGAGGGGGUGACAAUUAUGGAUGAUGUGCACUCCUGCACCAUCUGCAUCACCGAGUAAUUUUACAUCUCUUUCACCCACAUUGCAUCAAUAAAGCGGUCCGAAUUGAUCCGUGAUGCCCGAUGUGUAGAGUAUUACUGUGAUAUUGUGAUGGUUGUGAUGGUACUCAUGUAUCUACAGUUUAUAUUUAGGAUCGGUAUUUGUAUUUAUGACUAUGUAAAUUACAAUUGCGGUGGAAUAAAAAAUUUACUUUAUGUAAGCUAGAAUUCUGGUGGAAUAAAUAUUUGUAAUUCAAUGUUGUGAAAGAGUUAAAACUUUUGGGUGGUGUUUGGUUAGUGGGGAAAAUAUGUAGUGGAAACUACAUCCUACAUGAAAACUUGCAAACUCGAUCGUGGGCCAUUGGAUCCAAAAUAUGCAGCCUGGAUGAAGCCUUGCCAGCCCAGCUAUCCCCACGAUAUAUUUUACGAAAUGCCCCCCGCACCAUGUUGUGUACAUUUUCCCUUUAUUAUUGAUGAUUCUCUGUAAUCUCUAGAAAAAACUUAUUGUUUUAUUUAUUUUCUAAGUUUAGUUAAUGCAUGUGUAAAAAAAUGUAGGGGGUAACUUAUGCUCUCAUCCCCCAUUGAUCAGUUUCCGUUCUUUUUUUAUAUAUAUACAUUUGGUUUAUGAUUCUUAAAAUUUUGAAUUCAUGUUUUCAACGUUGGUGCAUAUUCAACAAUCUCACACAGGUGCGAAUGUCGAGACUUGCACAUUAAGGUUGUAACUUUUUCUAUAUAUAUGAAUUAUUCAAUAUCAUGUCCAUGUGCGACACGAGGUCCGUGUCAAGGUCAGAUUUCAAUUAUUUUGUGUCACGGUCUUGCACAAUUAGAAUAAUUUACCUGGUGUAAUGUGAAAUAUGCUGUUUUGAAAAAAAAAAUUCUUAAAACACUUGGAUCAUUUGUCAAGUUGCGCGCAAACACAAGCUCAUGUCAAGGUCUACACAAUUUCGUACAUAAAACCCCACGCAAGUCAAUUUCUUUUCUAACUCCCCCUAUUUUGUUUCCAUCAAUUUCUCCUCAUUGUUUAAGUUUCUUAUUUCAAUAUCCCAUACCCCAUAUGCCUUUAACGUGGCGGGGCUUUGAAAACCUCCUUUCUCGCUUCGAGUUUCCGCCUUUCCCAAGUCCCGCACGAGCAAGGUAAUGAUCGCAAAACACGAUGGCUCAACUUGCUAAGUUGUGCGCCAGCUAUAGUUUCUACGAUACCAGCCUCUCGAGCGCAGGAGGCCCAUGGGUCACUACCAAUUGAACUGACUAGGUAAAGUAGAUGAAAAGGGGAUACUGGGGGGAAGUUAGACGAUAAAUUGACUUGCAAGGGAGUUUGUGUAUGAUUGAGUUGUAGAGGUGAAAAUAAAAACACUACUGAGUUGUAAGGAUAUUUGGAUUAUCUCCCUUGUUUUUGCUGAAUAUUUUCACCUCUACACUACUGAGUUGUUUUUUUUGCACACAUAUUCAUCGAUUUUGGAAUGGAUCUCUAGGGAGAAUCUGGAGCAGCACUUGGAAGUACCUUUCGUUCGUUCUCAAAUCUAGGUCACUGCAAUCAUAUACUCACCAUGUCAUUAGCAACCUUAAUAUCUUAAAGAGCACUGCUCAUAGAGUUAUUUGACUAGAUUUUAAUAAUGUGCACAGCAAUGUUAUACAUACGCCAAUUAGUUUUAUAUGACAUGGAGUUUGAGGGGGAUGUACUCUUGGAAAACUGAAUUCAACAAAUAUUGGAAUACCAGUUUUUGCUGGGAACAAUGAUCUUUUCUAAGUUUGUGUGCCUGGCCAUUAGGCCUGUUUUGAAGUAAAAAAAAAAAACUUAGCAAAAUUUUGAGAAAAUCAGUUCACUUUACACACAGCAGAAAAAAGCUUUCCACAUAGAGCCUGUCAUCUAAGGCCUGUUGCUUGUUAGAUAAUGGAAGGUGUCUGUAUCAAGGAUGCACAUGACAAAUGCAACACGCACAUAAUGCAUAAAAAACAAAAGAAAGGACAUGAAGCAAACCUCCAAAACCUUCAACUGAUUAUAGAGAAAAAAACAUCUAGCCCUCACAAAUUCUACAUCUAGGCAAUUUUAGAGAUAAAACCAACCUGAGGUAAGACCUCAAGUUUUCUCCUUGUUUUGAUCUGCGAUGUAUGAUUGAAAUAUUCCCAUGUUUCUAAUUCACUUGGUGCAUAUAUUCCAAAGUUACCAAACACACCAUAUGGGCUGGGCUAUGUUCACCUGUAACUCAAUGCAAUGCCUGAGCUGCACGUUAAAAAUGAUUGUUAGCUGUUGGGCCCAAAUACUCAAUGCACACAAUGUUUAGAUGUAAUAAUCCAGCUAACAGCUCAAGAUUUAGAUGGCACUUACUUGUUGACAACGCAUCAGACCUACAUUGGAGAUGGGCAUCCAAAUGGCAUCGUAUGUUCAUGCAAAUGUGUCAAAGGAACUAAAGUUUAUCAGAAGCAGAAUAGGUGGAGAGGCUGCCUUGCUGCCCAGGAAAGCAGCAGGGCAGAGUCAACCCAAGCAUCUCACAGUUCCAGAGUUCAUAUGCAGCAAGAGCAAGAAGGCUGUCUUCUUAGUACCCGUACCAACAGUGUUGUGACCUCCUUUAGUGUAGGGGUUUCUCUGGGCCAGCAAGCAGUACUUUCCACAGCUGGAUAGCUGAUGGUAGUCACCUAUGGCUGGUCUCCCAGAUUGAGCUGGGAGCUUGAAAUCAAGAUCUUAUAGCACAACUAGCCCUGGCAAGAUUCUGAAGUUCCUGUCCUCGACUUGUGUAAAGCAGUCACUAGCAUGACACAGAUCAAGGAUCUCAGUUCAUUGUCAGAAAAGAGCUUGAGAUAAACUUUAUCUUCUCAGUUUUUUAACGGUGAACUUGGAGUGGCCUAAAAAAACCAUUUUGGAGCGAAUGAGAAUCUGUCACUGGACUUGGAAAAACAUUAUCAAGGAAAUGGAGUAAUGGACUUGCAUAACACCCAUAUUAAAGUGACAUAAGAACUAACCAUACCUUGAAAAUAAGAUUUGAUAUUUCAUUUCACAUCCAAUGUGACAAUCUUACAGACAGAGCUGUUAGGAACAAGAAUACUGAAUAUCCUGCCAUCACAUACCAUUCUGGAACUAUCAAACAAUACCUCACAGUCAUGAUUCCUUUCCUUCCAAAUGUAGAAAUGACAAAGCCAGGCACUCCUGUGGUUUUCCAUGUCAUAGCUGGCACUGCUACCUCCCGUGUCCCAUCAUAGUGAGUAUAAUCUGAGAAACUGCAAUCAUGGGCACUAAAUACAAUCCUGUGGAGACAGAGAUGUGAUCUGGAUUUAGAACUACAGGUGUAUUUCUGAAGGAAGCAACUCAUUAAGAAUUUUUUCUCGAAAACAACUCACUAAGAAUUUUGAUAAACGGGAACAUCAGAUGAUUGAAAAUAAAGCCAACCGUUACACAGGUACAGAUAGCUUAGUUGAAUAAUUUUUUCUGGUUUAGUACACACCGAAUUCUAUAGGGACUAACCUUGGUUUAAGCGCUUGAAGAACAUAUUGAGUUGAAUUUGCAGGGAGGGCAUGUAGUUGAUCAGACCUCCUGCCAUCAGCUCCUCUGUAGAAGUAGUGUAUGUUAGUAUAAUAAUAAUUUACUUAUUGAAAAAAAAGUAUAUUAAUAAUUACAACAUUUAGAAGGUGCAGGUAGACGACAAUCACAGAUUUACACUACAUUGGGUAUUUCAUGACAUUACAGUUUCAAAGUCAGGAAAAUCAAAAAAAAAAUAAUUAAAGACUGGAUAGGUAAAGCCCAAAAGUAUCUGUCAGAAUAUACCAAAUUCUCUUUGGAUUUUGUCAACUGAAAGAAACAAGUGAGAUAUAAAACCAUUGGUAUUAAAAAGGCAGAAAGGAUAUAAGUCUCUACUUGUAAACCACAAAACAUACCUUUCUUUCAAACUUGAGGAGACCGGAGGUUCUGAAAUAGUUCCCUCUGAAAACUUAUAUAGUGGAAAGUGGAGCAAAACUACAGGGCCUGACCCUGAUUCCAUGCUGUUUUGCCUCCAAUUAAAACCCUCUCUUUCUAUACUCCCCAAAGAAAAAUGUCCUGCUUCAUUCACCAUUUUCUGUUGAAAAUGGUUGUUUUCCUUCUCUAUAACCUUCUCAACGCUGAUCCGCAGGGGAUUGUUUCCACAGAGCAGCGCAACUGAAUUAAGUGACACAAAACUGACAUUACCAAUUUCAAAAGUACCGCAACCACUUGAAUCCAAUCCUGGUAAAUGCUUAGCCAUAUGGUGGACAAAACUGUCAUCCAAGUUGGCACAUCCUCCUACAUCUUUAUCGCCUAAGGCAAUAUGAAGAGGAAGGUCAGAGUAUUGCCCCAAUAUCCCUUUGAAUUGGUCAAUAACGUCUAUCCAUUUGCUUUCCUUCAGCUGAAAACCCAUUGCCGAGAUGUCCCCAAGGACUACAAUCAUAUCUGGCCUAAGUGUUUCAAUAGAUUUCUGGGGAAAAAAUAACAUAGCACAUAAACCUUUUAUACACAGCUGGAUUAACAAGACAUGCAGCUAUGCAAGUAAAUAAUCCUAUAGCGUGCAAUUGCAACAUAACUUAGCUUGACACUUAUCGACAAUAUACUUUCCAUCUCAAAUAUUGGUAUAGUCAAAACUCAAAAGUAGCUUUUGGUGGAAUUACUCCGAUGUCUUGAAUCUUGAUAGGUACCUAAAGGCACCAAAUUUUCGAACAUUGCACGCUUCAAUGCAGCAAUUAAGCAUAAACCAGUGAAACAAACAGGUAAACAGAGCAUAAUUAACCUCAACAUUGGUAAUAUCUACAUUUUCCAUUCAGCAAUAGAAGUCGAAUGCACCUGAAAAAUGAAAUUACCCAUUUUUUCCCAAGCUAGCCCCAUCAUCUAUCUAACAAAGUAACAAUGCCAUCCACCGAAGGACAGACAACGAUCUUUCAUCUAACUUCACUAGCUAGAGUCCCCGACGCACAAAAGUUCAUACAAACUUGGGGAGCGCACGAAUCUGAAUCUGAUCACUUACGGCGAAGAGCUUGGACAUGACGUGGUUCCGGAAGAAGCGGUCGGCGUAGGUGGCGUCCGACCCGAGCAGCAUCAGGUCGGAAACCAUCAUGACCCUCAGGUCGCCGGGGGCGGGGGCGGGGGCGGGGGCGGGGGCGGUCGAGCCGCCGGAGCAGGUGGGCGUGGCGAGCCAGUCCUCGAAGGCGAGCAGGGCGCCGACGAGGAGGAGAGGCAGCCACGGGCUGGGCCAAGCCGCCAUCACCGCCGGCGAGCACCGAGCCGCGGCGAACGGCGGCAGUGGGGCGGAGGUCAAGGUUGUUGGGGGUUUGGCCGCUGCUUGGUCGCCGCCGGCCAUUGACGGGCGGUUGUUAACUUGCUUUGCCUGUUUACUACUCCCUCCUUCUCAAAAUAAAAUUUUAAACUUCGAAACAGUAUUCGAGAUACUAUUUUAAUAAAUAAUAUCUAUAAAAUAAAAUAUUUUAAAUAUAAAAAGUUGUAUAUUAUGAUAGUUUAAUUAAUGAUAAAUCUGGUAACAUUAGUUUUACUUGAUUGUUCUUUUUUUUAUUUUUUUACUAUUAAUAGUCAAAGUUAAAAAAUGAUUGACUUGAAACUAUGAUGUUUAUAUUUUGGGACGGACAAUAUUAUUAUUAUUAUUUUGAGUGGCUUUUCUGCCUGGUUAUUUGCUCGCGGUGAGUUUUUUUUUAAUACAACUACAUACGUUGGCUCCCAUCACACUUGCACACUCACCCAUGUGAAUGCACACACGUACACCAUAUCUGUAUACGCACUGCGGUGAGUCAUUUUGACAAACACAUUAAGUACUCUAUUUUGGGUUACUAAGUUGUAGUUAUAAAUAGGAAAAGUCUAUACAUACUAAAUUUUAUCUUACUAAAUUCUUACUAACACUACGUGUCACGCUGUGAGUACAUCUAGAUUUUCUAUAACUUCCAUCUAAUUAAAUCAAAUGGUUGAGAUCAUUGUUUGUAAGAGUUUUGUAAAAAAAAAAUUAGUACGUGUAGCAGUGCUCUUAUAAAUUAUUAUCAGGUGUUUGAAAUAGUGUGAAUACCAUAACAUAAAAAAACAUUUUUUUCACAAAACUAUAUAUCUGUGAUCAAACUAUUGUAAAACUAUAUAUUUAAGACGUUACAUCGCAAAACUGAUUUAGCAUCAAAUUUAUCACAAAGUUAUAAAUUUACUAUCAACUAUCAUAAAACUAAAGAUUUAAUUUUAAUAUAAUCAUAAAAAACUACAAAUUUUAGAGUUUAAAUCUUUAGUACUAAUGUUAUCUUCAAGUUGUAAAAUGUUGUAGUUUUGUGACUAAAUUGGUGCUAAACUUCUAAACCUUUAGUUUUUUUUAUAAUUUUGUUACUAAAUAUGUAGAUUUGUGAUAAAGUGGUUUAAAUUUGUAGUUUUACGAUAAUUUUUUUAAAGUAUUGUAGUUUUAUGAAAUUUACUCUUAACCAAACUCAUAUUCACUCCAUUCUUUUUUUUUAACGAAAGACACAAUAUUCACUCCAUUCAAUUAUAAACUUAGCAUUUACGACAAUAAUUGAUUAAAUUUUGGCGUCGAUACCUUUCAAACACUCAGUUUUAAAAAACAAGAAACUGAUAUACGCAAAUAUGCCCUGAAAAGUUCAAUCGUAAGUUCGUAACAUCAUAACUUAUUAGAUUUUUAUAAAGUUAUUAUAAUAUAAAAUCGAUUUUAUCCUAUAGGUCAUAUUUAGGAUCAUAUAUUCUUUUUAAACAAGUAAUUAUCGUUGAUGGGAAUAUGAUUCUCUACGAUUAUUGUUGUGCAGUGCAGUAGUUAUAUCUGACAUAUGGCAUCAUUGAUAUUUCUGUGCAACCGUUAUUGAUAUAAAUAUUAAGGAGUAGUGAAAAAAAUAUAACAAUAUAACGAGUACAUAAUUUGUCUAUACAUAUAUACGAGACAACUUUCUCUGCCCAAGGGGUUCAUAUAAGUGGACAAAAAUAACCAUACAGCUAGACAGGUUCUACAAAUUACGAAAAUUACUGUAUUCUUAAUUAGUCAGUACUCGUACUAAUUUCAGUCAUGGGAUUCUUGUCAGAUACUAGUAUCUACAAUAUCCUCUGUUCUUGGUAAUAAACCUUCUUAUACACAAGACCCUAUCAUUGCAAACUUGCAAAAGGGGAUGAAAUAUAUAAUCAGUUCACGACACGUCACCCUGGUGACACUGCGAUCUGUCACCGCCGAUCCGGGCGUUGAGGGAGUAGUAACCCUUCAUGAUCUUGCCGGCGGCGCCGCCGCCGUCGCCAUCGCCGCCGUCCACCUCGACGGCGAACACGCCGCAGACCGGCCGGUGGUCGGAGAACCUCGACUCUCCGCGCAGGUACUGAAGCUGCUCGAUGCCGUCUCCCUGCCACAGUAUCCGGUCGCACCUACACUGCCAUGGGAAGUGGUCAGGAAAAAAAAUGCUCGACGGCCGGAAUCCAUGGCUGUAUCGUACCAACGGCCGGCGGUGGCCGCCGCCGGCCGGCGACCGGCGUACCAUGCGGGCGUCCUCCGCUUCUUCUUGGACUUGGCCGUCUCGCCGGCGUACGCGUCGGAGUUGUGCGUGUACUUGUACGUCGGCGCGAAGCAGAUCUUUCCUUCGUUCCAGCCUCUGAACACUCUCCCCGCUUCUCUCUCGAUCAACAGCUGCACGCAAUCAAUUGAUCAGAGUUUGAGCGAUUUUGUCUGAAGAAAUUCAGCAGUUCAGAUUCUGAAAAUGGAAGAUUGAAGAUUUUUUAGUCACGUGAAUACCUGAUCUUUCUCCAGUAGAGCGUCCCAGUCGUUGUCCUCCAGUAGUGUUCUUGUCUCGUCGUAGCUUAACGACAUGCGGUAGUUCAGAUCGCCGAGCCAGAUCAUUCGGCUGGUUGAGAUUGCAAAUGGAAGCAAUUAAUCCAAGAUUUUUUAGUACUCCAUCCGUCCCUCCAUUUCAGAUUAUAAGACGUUUUGACUUUAGUCAAAGUUAAUCGGUUUUAAAUCUGACUAAAUUUAUAGACAAAUAUAGUAAUAUUUGUACUCUCUUCGUUUAACAAUAUAAGACUUUCUAACAUUACCCACAUACAUAUAGAUGUUAAUAAAUCCAAACACAUACAUAUAUCUAGAUUCAUUAACAUCUAAAUAUAUACGAACAAUGCUAGAAAGUCUUAUAUUGUGAAACGGAGGAAUAUUACUAAAUUAGUUUUAUCAAAUCUAUAAUUAAAUAUAUUUUUAUAAUAAAUUUAUCUUGAUUAAAAAUGUUACUAUAUUUUUUAUAAACUUUGUCAGUUUGAUUUAGACCAAAGUAAAAAAAAAACGUCCUAUGAACUGAAGGGAGGGUAUAUUUGUCACUCUGUCAGUGUAAGAUUGUGGAGGUGAAGUUUAGUUAGCUUUGCUUACUCGUGGUCAAGAAUCCUCUCGGGGACGCGGCGGGCGGCGGCGGGCGCCGGGCGGCAGGCGCGCGGGAAGUGCGCGCUCUUGAGGAUCUCGGCGACGUCGGCGUUGCGCCGCAGCUCGUCGCCUUCCUUCUCGCCGGAGGCGAGGUGGCUGCAGACGAAGCAGAGGCUGGUGUGGUGCAGCGUCAUGCUGAUGGCGAUGCAGCCCUUGUUGCCGAGCCACCCCAUGAUGCCGCGCCCGACGCAGUCCACCCGGAGAUGGCCGACGUGCUCGACGAGCUCCUUCCUCACCCACACCGACAGGAAGAGCCCCACCAUCUGCUUGCUCGCGAUCAGGCAGUAGCUCAUGCCGCCGCCGCCGCCGCAUCCUGCCUCGCACUGCGCCUCCGUCGUCGGCGCGUCGUCUUCGUCGGCAGCUGGCGCCGCCGUCUCGCCGGCUGGCGCGGGUGCGUCGGCGAGGUACACGGACUCGCGCACCUCCGCGGCACGGCGGCGCACGGAGGAGUGCUCCGGCGAGCAGUUGCACGUCUUGACUAGCGCGCUGUCGACGCGGUAGCUGUUGCUGAGCAUCUUGAGCGACGGCGUGUGGAAGAAGAGGUUGCCGCUGGCUGACCUCGACACGGCGUCGCGCCGCCGGGUCCGGGCGCCGUUCGACGACUCCGACGUCGUCGUCGACGACGACGGCGGCGGCGUCAAAGGCGAUGGCUCGUCGCCGUCGGCCGGUUCUUGGGGCAUGUUCAGCGCCUGGUGGAUCAGCGCCAGCCACCUCGCCGCCGGCUCGUUGUCUUCGAGGACGAGCACAUUGCCGGCGGUCAGGGGGACAAUCUCCUGAAACCUAGUACUCAUGUAUCGUCAGAAAUUCAGAAUUUGGCACACCUCACAUGCCUAAAGAUGUUGACAAUCAAAAUCAAUUUUUCGAAUGGAUUCUAAUUCCUCGAGUGGAUUGGAUUGUCCCUCAUAUAACAUCUUCAAUCGAAUUUAAUGCAAAUGGUCAUAAAAAGUUACUAAAAAACGAUAAUGAAAAGUAUAGCAAUAUCUACGACUACACUAAAAUCAAGUUCAAAUUCAUCUGCAAGUUGAGAAAAAAAAAAGAUAAUCUAGGUAGUAGGUACUGUUCAUACGCUAGAUUUGUCUCUCUUUUUUUAAAAUUUCUCGAUGGCUGAGUUAAAUUUAGACUUAAGAUUUUCUAAGUGAGUAUAUGUAUGUUGUAUAAAUGUUGGUAAUUUUUUCUAAGAUUUUCUAUAACUAUUUGAAUAUAUAGUAUUUGAAUAAGCGAGGGGACGUCCGUUUGAGAGAUUAAAACAAUUUUCUUUUUUUUUAUUAGAAAUUUACCGAAGUAAUAUGCUGCCAAGGAAAGAUUUAUGAUAUGAAAGUGACAAAUAUCAACGAGAAAAUUUUAGAAAAAGGACAAGUUUUUCCGUACCCUAAGACGUAGAUGUCAGGAGAUUCUUCAACCUGCAGAAAGUCUUGAAGGUUAAGUCGUUUAUUAGGAGUUCUUCCUCCCACAUUCCAUGUGGCAACAAACAUCCUGCAAGAAUUUCCAAUUCAGUCAUCGAUCACCAUGUUACCUUUUGCAAUGAGGAUUAUUAAGCAAACAUCAAGAUUCAGAUCAGAACAAAAUGAGAAAGCAUUUUCACAUUACCGGUACUGUGUAGCAUUGUUGUUCUUCCUUGGCGGCGAACCCACACAGUUUAGGCUCGCACUCUUCAAUCUUGCCCGUUGAUUAAUGUAAUUGAUAUCUGAAAAUCCAGAUGGGUUAGUCAAAAGAAAAGAACAAACUGCUCAAAUCGGUCUUCAUUUUCUCAUGGUUGUGAUCUCAAAGAUGAUCAUAUUCUCGGUUCAUAGUGUCGUAUCAAAUUACCUGAAGAACUUCUGCAGACAGAACCAGAUGUAUCCAUCCCUAUCGCAAAUAAUGCAAAUCCAAAUUAGAACUCAAUAACAAAUUCUCUUUGAAAACAAUAAGAAUAAUCACAAGUGAUGAGCUAUCCCUCACCAUUCGAGUCCCACCCUUUCUUGCCGAACAUGUUGGACGACAUGAUGCAUGCUCACUGGAUCAGGAUGACAAAAAAAAACGCCAAGAAAAAUUCAGAUGAUCAGCGUGCACAUUUCUGCAAUCUAAUCGACACACAAAAAGCCAAUGGUUUGCAGCAAGAUUUCACCUGAUUCUUGUCUCCUGCGAUCUGGUGUUCGACAGCAAGAAGAAGCAUGGAGAUUGGGCGUUCCAUUGCCACCAACGCCGCGGCCGUUGCUGCGACCACGCUCCGAGAGGUUGCCGUGAAUCGAGGGAGAGAAACGUCGAGGGUGGUUAGCCUGAUGUGGAGGAUGCAUGCAGAAGGACAUGAAAAUGUGGGAGAGGGAGUGGGUGGUAGGGAGGGAGUUGUGAUUUGUGAGGGCAAAGCUAACUGCAAAUGGUUUUUGGGCUUUUUUUUAUUUCGAUAAUGGAUGUUAAACCUGGCCAUUGCUUCCACUAAAGCUCACUUAUAAUAAAGUUUUUACCUCCAAGCCCAAGUACGACAGAAUAAAACAAAGGUAGAUGAAAAGACGACACAAAGACACCAACCAAAGAAAAUAAGCAACUUAUUCAAAAUUCAAAUAUAUUGCUAAAUAUUCAUCCAGAGAUGAUAAAAAAUUACAUAAUGAUUGACUCUAUAUUUUAGCAUGCGGAGCAUAUGACCUCCGUGUCCUAUUCACUACUUUGAAGUUGGCCCCAGAACUGAAUCUGCAGUACGUUGCUAUGAAUAAUACCCGCAUAUAAAAUUUAAUUGGAGUCUUGUCAAAUACCAUAUCAUUCCUACUAAGUUAUAGGGCCCAAUAUUAAAUAGACGCUCCAAUCAAAAUAUAUUUUUUUGGUUUUUGAGUUCAUCUUCACCAACCAAUUCCCAAACACCUGAGAAAACUAUGUGGUGUUUUCGACCCACAUGAAACAAAGUUGGUUCUUCAAACAAAUUUAGCGACACAGAAUAGAUGUUGGACAACCUCUUCAUGCAAACAAAAAUGACACUUUGUACUAUGAUUUCAAUUCCUUAUUGCUAAAUUAUCUUUGGCCAAUACUACCCCUUUUAAGCAAAUACCACAUAAAAAGUACUUUUUUAAUUUCCACGACACUUUAUGCCUUUUCACAUGCCCUUUAAAAAUUUACGCCAAGUACAUUGAUAGAAUGGACAAUGCACCAUUUUUGAUGAAGGUUCCAUCUAAAUGUGUCAUUCUCAUCAUUAAGGUGGAUAUGUGCUGUUCUAACAACCAACAACCAAAUUAUUCUAGUUAACAAGAUACCCAACAAUGCCCUAUGAAAAAACAUUUAAAGGAAAAGGUUUUGGGGGCUAGUUUGGAAUUGUUAGCUAUCCCAAAAUUUGGUAAUGACAAAAUUCUAGUAAGCUAACAAACCAAAUUUUCUAUAAUAACAAAAUUUUGCUAAUGUUUGUUUAUGUAUUUUACUUUCACAUGAUUUUGACAUCAAACUAAACUUAAAUCUUUUAACACUAUCAAAUUUCGUUACAACAUCAAACCAAAACGGUCCUUUAGAAAGGGGAAUAUCCGGUGAAAACUAUCACAUAUGUGAAAAACCAUGAAAAACAGAUCAGAAAGUGCUCUAAAUUCAUGAAAAAUUGCUAGAUAUAGGUUUAGGUAUGAAAUACAUUACCACUAAAUUUCAAAUCUAAACUCUAUUUUCUUUGGGAGGAAAAAAAUAAAUUUCAGGUGAAUAGUUUCCGAUUACUUUGGGCACAAAUUACAAAGUUCUAAAAAAAGAAAAGGUACAAACCAAAAUACAACUAACAAAAAAUUGGAUAAAAUUGUAGUAAUACAAGCUAAAGACAUUACAUAGUACAAUUCAAAUUUUACCAUCUUAAGAACAUCUUAAGAAAAUACCAAAAGGUACCAUACUUUUUUAAUAUAAAAUUUAGUACCACCAUGUACUAAGUACGUCGAGGUAAAAAAAAAUAGUGUAAAUUUAGGUACUUAAGUUAUUUUCUUAAGGACAAUAAAAUUGCUCUCAACAAUAACUUGAAAAAAAAGAUUAAUAUGAAAAGUAAAUUUGCAAUUUGAUUUCAUACGAGUACAAAAGGUAGAUUUUUUUAAUAUUCAAAGUAUAGUAUGCAACAGUUGCAUACCAAAACCAGAACAAUGCCUCUCCCUUGAACAAUCCAAAUAAUAACACUCUCGAGUUUACCUCUCACAACCGCAGGAGGCGACGGCCAGCUCGCGAGGCUGCGGCGAUCAGCGGCGGCGUACGUGAGGCGCGGCGAGCAGCAGCUAGCUAGCAGCCGCGAUCUCAGGCAAAACGGCAAGAGCCUAGCACCGAUUGGUUUCUAAUGCCGCGAGUCCGAAUGCGAUUCCAAGCACUCGUCUCCUCGAUUCCGAUCCGGCGCCGGCGGCCAUGGCCGAAACCGAUUCCGAUCGAGUUCCAGACGCCUCGCCCACCACCGGUUUAAUUAAUUAAUCGCGCCAACCCAGAUGCUAAUCAGUCACGUUUAUCGGCGGAGUAGCUAAUCCGGUCGAGGAGGAGACGAGCGCGCGACGCGAUGAGCUUCCAGGACCUGCUCCGCGACAUGGAGGCCGGCGUGCUGCAGCCGGCGGCGCCGCCGGCGCAGGAGGUGGCGCACGGCGUGUUCCAGCUCAACACCAAGGUGGAGGCCCUCCGGUACAUGGCCGGCGCGCUCGGCACGCCCAGGGACACGCCCUCCCUCCGCGGCCGCCUCCGCGGCACGCGCGCCGGGAUCAAGCGGCUGGCGACGAGCACGUCCCAGGCGCUCAGGCAGGCCGCCGCCGCCGCCGACGACGACGAGUCGGUAUCCUCCUGCUCCAAGCUGGCCAUGGACUUCGAGGCCGCCGUGAACGAGUACCAGAAGAUCGAGCGACGCAUUGCGGCGGUCGAGCGGCAAGAAACCGCCGCCGCCGCUCGCCGCUCGCCGCCGCCACCAACUCCGGGCUUCAAUCACAUAAACAACAAUGGCGAUCACACAUUCCCCGAACAGAAGCAGACGCAGCUCGCCGUGCUACGAGACAUCAACCUGCUCGACAGCGAGAUCGAGCUCCACGAAGCCAUCAUCGCGGAGAGGGAGCAGGGGAUACUGGAGGUGCAGCAGGAGAUCGCCGACAUCCACGAGAUCUUCAGGGACCUCGCGGUGCUCGUCCACGACCAGGGUGAGUGCAUCGAGAUCGUCACCGCCAACAUCGAGAUGACCGAGGCGGCGACGAGCCAGGCGGAGGUGCAGAUCUCCAAAGCCGCGGGGAUUCGAGGGGAGAAGGAGGAGCUCCUGACCGGCGCAGGAACCGAGGACAACUCGCCGUCGAAAUGCUUGCUGCUGGCUGUUCUUGGAUUGUUUCUCUUCAUAGUUGGGUUAGUGCUUAUAUCAUGAACUGUAGCUUGAUGAACAGAUAUGUGUGGCCAAUGGCAAUGACCUUCAGGCAUCCAAAGAUUUAUUUAUUUUUUUGACUUGUAUAAGUAGCGGUAUUGAUUGGUUUACUAAUUUUUUUUUUUCAAAACACAUUGCACAUGUAGUCGCUCGUAUAAACGUGUACAAACUUAUAUGAAUGCACACUCACCUUAUCCCUAUAAACACCUCUAAGAUUGAGUUGAUAUAUCUUGAUUGAGGAAGUAACGACCGACGUCUAGCUGUUGAUGAGUUUACUAAUUGUGAGUAAUUAUAUUGUCAAUAUAGCGACCGUCGGAUAAAUUAGAAGUCAUUAUCUGAUUUCUGUGCGAGUACUGUAGCAAUCAUGUUAUUGUAGAUAUUGAUCAAAGUGCCGAGUGCCUACUAUGCAUAUGUUUAAUUUUUUUUGGGGUAAAAGGAAAUAAAAUACUCUUCCAGAGGGAGUCGUACUCGUAUAGGAAUUCUUUUAGGACAAUGUUUAAGUCAAACCUUCGGAAUAUAAAUCAUGAAUAACUCUCAAGUUGUUGAGUUUGAAAAUGUAAAAAUUAUAUAAAUAGAUUUGUCUUGAAAGAUACUUUCAUAAAAGUAUACAUAUAUCACUUUUCAAUAAAUAUUUUUAUGGAAGUAAGAAGUCAAAAUUGUGUUUUGGAGACCGUGUCGCUGUCCAAAACGUAUCAUUCAUGGCCAUCUGAGAAAUGAAAUUAAUUACAACUAUUGCCUAGUCAGACCUCAGGAAUAUUCAACACGACUGCGUAGAAUCUCUAUAUAUCCUUCGAGAAGGGUAGGUAAACAUUCAACGAAUGUAGAAUUUAGGCCCGAUUGAUUAACAUGCAUGAUGUGCAAGCAUUUCUAGGUUUUUAUUUUUACACACAGUAUAAGCAUUUCCAUCGUACUUUCAAUAUACGGAAAUCUAUAAUUUUUUGAUAAUGACUCAAUGAGAUAUUUGACAAUACAAAAAUUGAAAUUUGAUCACUGAACCAACUAAAAGAGAUGUUUUCACUUGCUUAAUUUUUUUUCUAAAGAAUCUAAAAAUACUUAUAAUUUAAAAAGAAGAGGGUGCUUAGGCUGCAUCGUUAUCUCAGUUUGGAUGGAGAUUUUCGGCACAAAGAUCAUUGUCAAAUAACUUCAAUACAGAAUUCUUUUUUCUUUUGCAAAAAUACACCAUUUCAUAAUUUGAAAAGCAUGUUAACGGAAAAUAAGAAAGUUGAAAUUUAGAGUUGAAGGAAAGAACCAAGCCUUAUGUAUUUUAGAAGAGGCUUUUGCUGUCGUAGAAAUUUGGAAGUGGGAACUCGGAAGUACCCCAAGCAGUUUCUGUUGCUUGUCCAACUCGCCCAUUGUUUCGCUUAUGCAUAUGUUUAUCUGUACAAUUUAUUAACAAAACAUAAUUUAUAAGUAAAAUUUUUAUAUACACAUCAUUAUUGAUUAAAAAUAAAUAUUGUGAAAUAACUACGAUGGAAAAAAAACAUAAAAUCAACUCUAAGUUUUAGUUCAUAAGCAUAAGCAAAACUACAGUGCUCUCACCGUGUAGCGGGGACGGAGCUAGGCAGGAGAGAUGGUGUUCAAAAACCAGGUCAAGAAAAAUUUCACCAUAUGUACCAUCCCCUAAAUCUAAACUCAAGCAUUUAUAUCAGUCUAAGCUUAGUCUUAAGUGGAUUAAAUCGAGUGAGUGAGUGACCCCUCUUUUCAUUUCGUUCAAGUUCCAUCCUACCGUGUAAAACGACAGCCUAGACCAACCUGCAGAAUGUCAAAGUGUCGGCGAGUUUCGGUUCUAGACGCCGUAAGCUCUACAGCUCGGGCUGUCCAUCAAAACGUGGGAUUACUGACAACCAGGUGUGUCAUGUACUACUCCCUCCGUAUUUUAAUAUACGGCACCGUUGAUUUUUCGAGCAACGUUUGAUCAUUUAUUUUAUUCAAAAUUUUUGUGCAAAUAUGAAAAUAUUUAUGUCAUGUUUAAAGAACAUUUGAUGACAAAUCAAGUCAUAAUAAAAUAAAUGCUAAUUAUAUAUUUUUUUUAAUAAGACGAAUGGUCAAACGUUGGAAAAAAAGUCAAUGGCGUACAUCAGUACAUGUAAGCACGCAUACACAUACGUCACCGCUGACUCCGACGUGUCACCUUUAUCACUCAUAUAUAAAUCAAUCCUGGGAUGACGCAUUCCCGCCAAAUCAAACCGGCGGCUUAAAUUAAAUUAAAUUCGGCCAAUUAAAGCUUCCACGGAUCACAGCCUCUCGUGCAUGCGUAUGCAGACCAAGAAUACGGCGGCGCCGGCGCCGGAGAAGAAGUACAAGGGCGUGCGGCUGCGGCAAUGGGGGAAGUGGGUGGCGGAGAUCCGGCUGCCCAACAGCCGCGAGAGGGUGUGGCUGGGAUCCUACGACACGCCGGAGAAGGCGGCGCGGGCAUUCGACGCUGCCUUCGUCUUCCUCCGCGGCGCCGGAGCCGCCGACGCCGCGGGGCUCAACUUCCCCGACUCGCCGCUGCCAGUUGUCGCGCGCACUAGAGAUCUGCGCGAGGUGUAUGCCUUCGCGGUCUCGCAUGCCAACAGGCCGCCGCCGGUGGCUGGAGAAACGGCUGCCACGGCUCUGGCUGCGAUGGCGGCGCUGGAGCACAAUGAGGUCAGGGAAAAUAUUGCGCCGUCGUCGCCGCUGUCGGCAGUGCAGGUGGCGGCGCCGCCAGCUGGGAGCUUUGAUUGGUCGCAGCUGAUGGCGAACUCGCCGCCGCUCUACUCGCCAAUAGUGAUAGGAAGCCAUGCGUACGACGACCUGGCGGUGUGGCCCACGACGCAGCCGGUGGAGGAAUUCAGUGAGGAGGAUAACGAAAAUGAAGGUGCUACGAGUGAUGAGCUUUGGAGCUUCGAUGUCUGACGCUCGAUCAGUGUUUGAAAUUUCGAUUCGAAAUUUCGCCCAAAAUUUUUGUGUUUUUACAUUUUUUUUGAAUUUGGUCAAAUUUUAUUCAAAUUCAUUCAAAUUAUAUCAAAUUUUCAAAUAAUUUCGGCUCGAAAUUUCCAAAAUUUCGGUAACCCCGGCAUAAAAUCCAAUUUCGAAAUUUCAAACCCUGCACUCGAUUAGUCGAUCGGAUGUGCAUUGUUGUUGCACGAUUAUGGGAUAGACAGAUUACGUCCUCCGUUUGUAAAUAUAAUACUGUGCCCAAGUAUAUUUUUGCUAUAUAUUUAAAUAUAUUUUUGUUAAACAUAGAGUUAAAAGUUUAUAUUUUGAGAUAAAAGUAGCUUCUAGGAGUAUUAUAUUUUUUAAAAAAAGAUAAUGAGAAGUUGUUACUAAUUUAGUUGAAAAAAAGAGAAUGAUAAUAUAUGAUUAUGCUACAGUACUAGAUAAGCACGUAAUGCAUCAGAGACUGCACUGGCGCUCUCGGUUCGAUGGAACGUUGCAAUUAAGCAAAGGGUCUACCAAUCCCUUGCUCGACAUAUUUUAAUUGAAGAAAAUCUAUUAGUGUAGCUAGGAUGUAUUUACACUGUACACUGUGAUUAGUCUGUAGAUUGUGUUUUGAGAGUAAAAGUUGCGCUAUCUCAGAUGGUGUUAGUAACUCCUUCCCAAACACCACCUCAGUGCUUAUCCUUUUUCCCUUCCCCAACUCCAUGCACAAAUCUUGGAGCGAAUCCAAUGAUCCAAAAAUCGACAUAUCUUUUCUAAAAUACUGUCGUAAGAUUGAGCAAAUACAGCAAAAUUGAUGAUAAUAUGCCCUCCCCCUAACCCCAAUCCCAAAAAAAAAGAUCACAUAUACAUUUGUUGACAAAUUUUCUCCUAAAAAUUUAACAGAUGCAAUUAUAUUACAAUCGUAGUGUAAUAACACUGUAACUUGAAUGUAACUAUAAUAUAACUUGUAUGUAAGUUUCAUGUAAUUUUGAAUCGUUAGAUCUAUUAAAUGAUUUGUUCUAGUGAGGAAGAAAAAAAAUCACACCACACUCAUAUGUGAGAGGAUUUAUUCCCACGUCCUCCAUUUUACCGAAAUAACAUGUUACGGAGAGAUUUUUAAAAGUACAUUAUAGUAACAGUGUAAUUACAUACAAGUUACAGUGUAAUUACACUACGAUUGUACUGUAAUUAUAUGUGUCAAAUUUUUAGGAGAAAAUUUAUCGAUAAAUACAUAGCAAAAUAGAAAAAAAAAUGAUGACAAUACUUGUCACUUUGAUUUACAUGGUAGAGUGUGACAUUAGGCCAGUCCCAACCCAUAAUGUCCAUAAGCAGUGUCUUGUGGUGCCAUGUCAAUAAGACAUCACAAUAGAAACUAAACUCUACAACCCAUGGUUUCUUAAAGUGGGCCAUUAAUAAAUACAUCAUCUCUCUUCUUUACCAAUCAUAUUUAUUCUUCAUCUAUUAUGAAGACACUAUUCUCUCCCAAUGCAAAACUUGAUAGUGUCUAGUGCAUAGGUUCUCGCGUUGAAGCUGUGUCUUGCAUGAGACCCAGUUUCUUCCUUUCUUCACUCUCUCUUAAUUAAUAUAGUGCCACAUAAGUUAAAAGUCCUACAUGGCAAUGUAGUUAAUGCUAUAGACACCAUUCUAAAUGGAGGGUCGGGACUGUCUGUAACGCUCCGCUCGUUACACGCUCCUGUCAGGUGCCGUUUUACGGCGGUAUCAGAUUGGGGUGUGACAAGAGAUGGUAUCAGAGCAUUAGUUGGCCCUAGGAUCGAAACCCCUAAAUAGGAUGGCAUUAUCUGAAUACAAAAACUAUUUGUGAAAGCUAAGGUGUCGUUGUCCCCUUUAGUUCUAGUUUUGCGAAAAACCUUUUGUGUCCAAAGGUAGAAGCUAGUCGUUCGUUUUGACUUUUAUCCUAGAGUAAACAUGUCUUCACGCCCAGUUGAAGAAAGGUGUGCUCAAGCCUCUAGGAGUCUUAGUUAAGCCCUUGUUGGUAGGCUAACCUUAGUACCGUCACCCGCUCGGUAGGAGUUGUGGUGAACUAGUGCGUGUGUGAGUUUUGUUUGGUAGUCCGUGUUCAGGUGUUAGACCAGUUGGGUUACCGGCUGGAACACACCACCUAUGUCUUCUGUGAUUUCGAAAACCAUUUUGAUGUAUUGUUUUUGUUUUCCUCCUUUUCUUCUUAUCUACUUUCUGCGUUGGUCAGAUCUCAGUCCCUCUGAAGCAGAUGGCACCUCAACCAACCUGUCAGACUUGUGUCCGCAACUACCUUGGUUCUAAGGAAGACCCAGCUUUGUCAGAAAAUCCAAAUCAACUAGCUGAACAAGUCACCAACCAAGUUGCCAAGACUGAUAAUACUGUUCCUGGACCAAACAAGGAAGUUGCAACCAGAAAUCAACACUCCUCAAUGGAUAUUUAUCAGAUUCUAGCCAAUCAGACUCAGAUGCUACAAGAAAUAGCUCAAAAUUUGGCUUCUAUACAACAACAACUGCUACUACCACAGCCCAAGGUGAAUCCAGACAAGAGUAAGAAUGAGGCCGCAGAAAUACAAGGAACACAAUCAGUAGAAGGCACUGAUACCCAUAAAGAGAAGAACAAAGAAUUCUUAAAUGUGAUGAUUACAGGGAUGAAAACCCCACUUCAAGCUAAUAAUUGCCCCAACCUUCAGAACUCAAUCAAUAAAUCCGUAUCGCGAGAAAAUAGCAUGAUUAAAGAAGGAAGUUGUCACAAAAGAAAGACCUUGCCAUCAGAAGUUGACAUGCAAGAUGUCCCACAAUGUCAGACAAUGCAAUCUUGCCAAAACCUACCCAAGUCCCCCACCCUCAAAUCAAAGAAGAUCAGACACGUUCCCGGAUUCAUAUGCUUCAUUUGCCACAAAAUUGGCCAUUACAUGAGACACUGCCCCCAAAAACCCUAUAUGGAUGCACCACUACAAGCUAAUAUGAGCACCUCAAGGAUGCCCUUCUAUCCCCAAGGAAGCCCAAAUUCGCCAAAUGUUAAUGCAGUACGUUCAACCUUCCCUGAUGACAAAAGAGCAAAAGCAUCCUGCGACAUGUGCCAAGACAUCCAAGAAAAGAAAGAGAUGCAAGAAUACAAGAGAUGCAAAGUAAUGUCCCUAGAGAUUCAAGCAAAAGAAGAUUUGUGUCGAAAAACAAACUCGCCAGCACAAUACUAUCAGAAAGCAUCUCAGCAUUCAACUAGUUCCGGUUCUACGUCUCGUUCGACUAUGUCAGAACCUGGUCAGCAAGCCACAAUGAUCAACAGUAAUAGCCAUGAAGGAAGCAACUCCGUACCAUGCCCUACACCUUCAAAAAGACGUGGUUAUAAGGCAGGAGUCGAAUGUUUCAUCUGCCAUGAGAUGGGACACUAUUCAUGGUGCUGCCCUUAGAAAGUCAAGUCAAAACGAGUCCAACCAACAACAAGCCUUCCCAACGUAUCUGGACCAAAAAGUUCAAAGUCACCAAACAGUGGUUCUGCCUCGUUGACCUCACCGCCCGUCGGACAAGGUCGUCUGAACCAUGUGCAAGUAGAAACAAACGGAAAAGUUGUGAAUCUCGAGCAAGUUGAAGGAGCAGGAGAAGAACAGGUUCCACAGGCAAGAGCAGAGCCACAGUAAGAUGAAGAAUGCUAAGUGAGUCAGAGUACCAGACCGUUUUGCGGCAAGCACACAACAAUAAGUUGAAGAAAGACUAGCAGAGCCUGAAGCUGUGAAGAAGUCUGAAGAUCCUUUUUGGUUUCGUGUGUGUGGUCCACCUUCGAAUCUCGGGGUCGAGAUUCUUGUAAGGGGGGUGGAUCUGUAACGCUCCGCUUUUCGUGGGUCGUUAAAAACUAAUUCGGCAAAAAUCCUAAUUGCGAAAAUUUUCGUUCUUUGUGUGCGAGUCUAAGUUGUGCCAAGAUCUCAAUUCAAAUCCCGUUGUUCCCUCUCAUCAAAAUCAAAAUCCUCCGCCUCAAAUUUCCUCUUCCGAUUCAAGUCUCCGAAAUCUAAAUCCGAAGGUCAAUCCCUUCCCUUGAAUCCUCGCCAAAUACUUCUACGAAUCCAGAAUUAUUCAAAUCCCGCCUCGAAUCCUUUCCUUGACUCCACCCUAUGUUCCCGAGAACAAAUACCCAAGUAUUCCUUUUAAAUCUUUUCCAUGACUUCUCCUUGAGUUUCCCUUGAUACAUCCCUAAACCCUCGAGUUCGAAUAUCAAAUUUGAAUUCGAAUCCAAACCCUAAAUCUCCCCAAUUCUAUCCAAAUCAGUUUUCUCUGUAAAAGUCUACCUUACCUCCCUGUGAUUUUGGAUGGGCCGAUUCUCCUCUCCCGGCCCAUCUCCCCUCCCAGCCCAUCAUCUCCCCCCCCCCUCGCACGUGCGUUGCACGCAUGUGAGCCGAGAGAGAGAGAGCCGUCGCUCGCUCUCUCUGUCUCUCUCGCUCUCGCUGUUUCUCUCUCUCUCUCUCUCUCUCUCUCUCUCUCUCUCUCUCGAUGUCUCUCUCCCGCGCCGACGCCGCUUCCCGCCGUCGCCGCCCAGAACCCGCCACCGCCUUCGCCUUUUCCCGCGCUCGCGCGUGGCCGACCGGCCGGUCGUUGCCGCCGUCAGCCCUGCCGCGCCUGCGCCGCGCAGCCACCCGGCCCCGCUCCAUGCCAAACCGACCGCCGCCGUCAUCGUCGACGUCAUCCAUGGCCCCCGCCACUCCACGCCGCACCCGUCCAAGAGUGGGAGAAGCAGCUGCUCUCCCUCUCCUCCUCCUCCUCACUCUCCCUCCUCCUUUUCUCGUUUUGGCAAGGGACCAAGCCCCUUUCCCCCUUCUUUUUCCUUUUGCCCAACACCGCCGGCGUCAUCACCUGCCGCCGCCUUGGCUGCACGCGUCGACGACCGCCAGCUCGUCGCCCUUGCAUCCCUUGACUGCCAAUGUCGGUUUCCCUCCUCCAAACCGACCUCUCCUCCUCGCCUAUAAGGCCGAGUCCCUCCUCUCAAUUUCCCCGCUUCAGUCUCCACCGCUGUAGCGCCAUUACCACCGAACCACCAUCGCCGCCUUGUUGCCGCUUGUCCCGCUCUCGUCGUCGUCGUCCGUCGCCGAGCACCGGAGGAGCCGGUGCGAGCGUGAACGCGUGACGAGGAGCUCCGGGCGCCACCUCUCCCUCUCUUCUUCCCCGGCGCACUCGCCUCGACGCCGCGCCGCCUCGGCGUCAUUCGCCGUGCGCCGCCGCUCGGUCGCGUGCCGCCAUCGGCCUUCCACCCCUUUCCAUCCCCAAAUCGCCGCCGAUACCGUUCCCGCACACCGGUGAGCUCCUCGCCCAAAUUCUCGCCAUCUGCGUCAUUUUGGAUAAGCCCCGAGCCAUUCGGUUGCUCGCUCGUCCCCUUAAACGUGCCGCCCCGCCGUUGCUCUGCUUCGCCGCCGCCGCGCCCGCCUGUGAGCCGCCGUGGGCCCUCUCGCCAAUACCUCGCGCCACCACCGUCCUUGAGCUCCCUAGGACCUCCCCAAACCAUUCCCUAGACCCGCCGCCGCCCGGCAUGGCCUCGCCGCCGUUGCCGCCCGCUCCCGGAGGCCGCCGCUCGUCGCCAGCCCUCCUUGGUGCUCUUCCGCCCCAUCCGACGCCGGAAGCGGACUCCUUGAACCCCGGAGAUGCUUUCACCGCCUCGAAUUGAGUCCUCGUCGCCCCUCGGUGAUUUCCCCUUUCUCUCGCCGCCGGCCGCCACUGUCGAAUUCCACCGCCGACGAACUCCCUCCGGCGAAAUCCGAGCCGUUGGCUCGCUCCUUCUCGACGCCCUCGUCACUCCGGUGUGCUCCCCGAAGACCAAAUCCGUCGCGCUUGCUCCGGUGAACACGGCCGCCGUCCGCCGUCCAUCUCGGCCUCCCCUUCUUCCUCCUCCCGCCGGCCCGCGUGGCUGCCACGUAGGCGCCACGUCGGCGCCACCUCGGCUUUGACUGGGCCAAGCCGGUCAGUCGUCCCCUCCCUCCGACUUCCCUCCCGUGCGCGCGGUCCACGGAAAGCCGUGCGACUGCAUGUGGGCCCGCCGCCAUCCGUCCAACCGGUGCACCGCUCCUAAGCCCCGCGCACCCGAAACCCGUGCGCCGCACCUCGCGUGCGCCCAUCCCACCGUGGGCCGUGCCACCGACAAGCGGGCCCCACCCGGGACCCCGCGCGGUGGAAUCGGUCCACCGGGCCGUCCCUCUCUCCCCCGCGCCCCAUUGGGCCGCCCUCCUCGCAGGCCGUGCCGGCCCAUUAGGCUCGCCCGAGCUGCGCAAGUCCCUCGGGCCGCGCCAAUGCCACCCGAGACAAGUCUGAUUGACAUCCCUCCAUCCUUUUCUUUUUCCAGGGAUUUAAUAAAUCCUUUUUCCUUUGUCCCAUAAAUCAAUUCCUUAUUCCAAAACUCCACAAAUCAUUUCCUUUGGUCCCGCAUGACAGGGACUGUUAAUAAUAUUCUUGGGAAUAUUAUUUCUUCAAACCCCAUAAACCAUUUCUCGUAUUCCAGAAAAUUCCGAUAAAUCAUUUCCUUGACCAGAAAAUCCAAAUUAAACUUCCAAAAUUCAUAUCUUCCCAACCGCUCUUCCGUUUGACUCCGUUCAACUUCCAGUAAUUCCGUAAAAUUGAGAUCUAUUUAAUGGCACUACUAAUUAGUCUAAAUAGGAUCUUUCUUUUGGUCUUUUGUUUAGGUUUUCGAUUGUUUGCGUAUAGUUGCGGUUAUCGGAUUUUCGUCGAUCGCGGGUUUUCUCGAAGAUUCGUGAAGCUUCGUGAAGACCUUGAGCAAGGCAAGUCACCCUUUGAUCAAUUGCUCCUAUAAUUGAAAAGUCAUUAUUAUUUCGUUUGCAACUUGCAUUAUUAGAAUCACACACUUAACUUGCUUGGCCUCGGUUUCCAUGCCAAACCGACGGACCUACCCAGUAGUCGCACUAAUUUCCGUAGGUCGUACUACCCUGUUUCCUUGUCGCUCCACCCUUGUGGUACCUUGGUAUUCGUGCUCUCUGAGCGCGUAUACUAAAUAUCCCACAUACACCGUUGUUUGUCGAAAACUUGGGAAAUGGGUUUGUGAAGCCUUCAAAAACCCGACACGUGGUGUCGGUGUGUUUGAAAAUAAAAUGAAUUGUGAAAACUCGCGAUGCGGGGGUUGUGCCUAUGUGGCACUGUCCCGUAUUCGCAUAUAAGGACCGAUUCCUGUGGAAAACUCAUCGAACAUAAUCAAAGUGCAACCACAAGGUGGAAUGGGACACCCUGGCUAAGUAACUAGUCGGUUCAGGGAAACCUCGCAUGCCAAUAGUUGGGAACGCCGGGGCGGGGUCGGACAAACCGGGUUCCUGGUAAGGCAAGGACGAGAAGCUUGCUCACUUACCGAUCAAGGUGGUUGGAGUUUGAUUUGUGCACGCCUAAAAAGGCCUAUGUUUAUGUGAGGAUUUGAUCCUUCUAUGUGGCAUGAGGUAACCCUGGGUCGGCUUGGGAAAGGCUUUGUUGCGAACCUCCGAUACCGACGGGUGUUCGGAAUAAGUUCGUAUCUUGUGGGUAAAGUGUACCCCUCUGCAGAGGUUAACUAACUGUUCGAACAGCCGUGCCCACGGUCAUGGGCGGAUGUGAGGUGGUUCCCGUUGCGUAGAUUUGUUUGCCUGUGCUUUGUGAAAAGUUGUUGUGGUGUGGGAAUCGUAACCAGAAUCAGCCUAUGUGGCAGAUGGACGACCUGAGUGGUCAGAAACGAAUCUGUGUGAUUCGGGAUGUCUGCGGGCAUCAUAGACUAGGCUUCCCGAGUGGAAGCGGAUUGUUGUGCUGCUGGGCAGCUGGGCUCUGGGAGUCCGAGAAAAUGAAAAAGGCUCUGGGAGCCGAUUAAUCAAGUGGAAUGGCUCUGGGAGCCGAGAAGUAAUGAUCUGACCCGGGAGGUCGGUACAUUGCUAAAUGAGCUGUUGAAAAGCAUCUCUUAAAGUCGAAUCGAGACGCAAGUCUCUUUUCGCCCAAACAUAGAAAGAAAUAAAUCACUUAGUGAUUUCAAAAUGAUUUCAAACAAAAGAUUUGCAAAACAACCUUACCUCUCUUCCAAGCUAGCAUUAAACACCUAAGUUCCCGUGACUUGCUGAGUACGAAAGUACUCACCCUUGCUCUAUAAAUAUAUAUAUAGUUCCUCCGCCCUGAAGAGAAGAUAAAGUGAAGUGAAGAUUAGGGUUUCGUCCUGGUUCCCAGCCGUCGCCUGUGGUGUUGGGUGUUAGACCGUUGAUUCCGCUGCUGCUGCUGCUGUUGGUGUUUCCUCGGCCGCGUCGUCGGUUGUAUUCUCGGGCUGUCUGAGCUGCAACCUAAGUUAAGGUAAAUAAGUCUUCUAUUUAUUUUAAGGAUUGCUAUGAUUCAUAUUUGUCACCGUGGGUACCAGCACUAUGUCCUGGGACUGGUACCGAGAUCGCGGUUUCGUAGGAAGCGGUUCGCGCCGUUUUCCCUACGACACGCUCCUGUCAGGUGCCGUUUUACGGCGGUAUCAGAUUGGGGUGUGACACUGUCCUUAGCCCCGUGUUCUACAACUAACAGGCCGAAUUAGCCUUUAGACGAUUUUUACCACUGCCACUGAAACGUGGUGUAUACUCCAUGGGCUGAAAUAAAAGACACGGGCUUUCCAAGACGAGCCGAAGAUGAGCUUGUGGUGUAUGCUCUUCGGCUGAAUUUCGCCCAAAUUCACAAGGAAUAAGUCCACCUUGACCUCCUCAUGUAUAGGCCAAAUUUGAUUAAUUUCCUUGAAUCACAAUAAUGGAUAUUUUGACCCCUAAACUAUUAUAAAACCGAUGUAAUUUGCAUCACAAGACUAUUUUGAAAGAUGAUUUUACUGACAUGACGCUUUGAUUUGGUCCAACCCGCUAAAUCAUCCCAUCGGGCCCAACCGUCAGCAGGGCAACGGUACAGUAUUUGCACGCGGCACAAAACGAAAGGCUGCCCGUGCAGUUGGAUGUACAGGUGCUCUACUUCGAGCAGCUCCGCCUCCGGAGCGCGAUCCAGGCCGGCUACACCCACCCACACCGAUCAUCCCCCCCCCCCCCCCCCCCCCCCCGGCUCCUUCUCCUGCUGUACCUUUCACCAGGAUUCGGCAUGGCCGAUUUUCGCUAGCCUCAUCUCGGCGCUGCGUGUAGGGACGAUCGAGCUGAACGUACAAGGAAUGCGCGGUGGCGUUGGACAGCAGCGUGGUGCUAAGCACCAAGAACCUUGAUCGAGGCCAUCAUGGACUCGAUCCAACACACCUUCGUCACCGUCGACGCUCACCUAGUACCAAUUUUGCUUGAGUUCUUAGAUUUGCUAGUUCCUUGCAUGUUUAACGUUGUGUCAUCUACUUCUUCACAGGCUCGAGCAGAUGAGCAAGGAAGAUGAGUCUGAUGCAACGGCCACAAGGGGUGCAGGCUCGUGAUCAAUGAGAUGUACUUGAUAGUACAGUGACAAGGGGUGUGUAACUUCAAUUUUAAAGUCCCGUGUUCAAUUCUCAAUAUGCUCACAAUCUCUUCCAAAAAAAGGGUUUGGAGAGGCGUCUCUCCCUCUAAAAUCUCAUAUAUUUUUUUUAGUCUGACGUGACGGCCACGGUCAUAUUUGUGGGUAAUGUAAAUUGUGAAUUAUAUUUUGCUAAUGAUGAGGAUUAUAUGGGGUGUUUGAUUAGCAGGUCAUAUAGAGGUGUAGACGAGGACUAGAACAGCACAAAUCUACGAAGGAAGGGGAAAACAGACCAAGAGCAAGCGAGCAGCUGGACGAAAGAACUCGUCGCUGCCUUACUCGUCGGACGCCACGGAUGGAUGGCCUACCAAACAAAACUAGGAGGGGUAAAGGAAGGUAGAGAAGGGUCGGUUGAUCACUGACAGGUGGGUCUCACAGGAUGAUUUAGCGGGUUGGACCAAGUCAAAGCGCUACAUCGGUAAAAUCGUCUUCCAAAAAAGCAGAAAAUAUAUUGUAUAUCAUCAUGACUUCAUUUUUCGCAUACUAGAUCUUUUACAUCGAUUUCAUUGUUAAACAAGUUAUCACAUUUUGAGCUUCCCCAUUGUACAUAAUCGCAGCCCUCAGACCUCAGAUAAUACGUAAGUGAAAGCUUCCUCAACCAUUUGUCAGAAAAACAAAGAUGAAUUCGACAAAUGUUUGAGUCACUAAUCACUAUACAAUAUAAAUCCUGAAGAGGAAUAAAAUGGAAAAAUACAUGUUUGUCGCCUAAAAAAAACACAAUAUUAGAGAAUGACCUAAUAUUAAAUAAAUAUAAUGGGUGAGACUUCAAUCUCAGAUCGGCUAGUCCACCACCUUUUGGAGCAAGCCGGAAGACGCUGGACGUUUCUCUUGUCGCCUAACCAUAUUGGAACAUUGAUUCGAUGGGAGCUGAAGCUUGCAUUAUUAACUUACUGACCUUUUACUAGACCAUGCUAUCUAGCUUCUGUCUGUACUGAGCCAAUUUCUGCAAACAAGAAAAUGCACAUCCCAGAAAAUAACAAAGACCAUCAGAUAGUCAGAAGGUAACCACGAGUGAUUUCAAAACGAAGGUUGUUAUCAUUAAAAAAAUAGCUUUGUAAACAUAUUAUGUAUAGUACCAACUUUAUCAGCUGAAUCUAAUAUAAGUACAGGUUGUUGCGUGGUUCAUGCAGUCUGCUUCUUCAAACUCACAACCAAUGUGGACCAAAAUGACAAUCCCAACUCAUACAAUUAUAUUAGAACCAGUGUUAUAUAUAUGUGAAUAAUUGAGCCAAUGUUAUGAUGAACUUGGUGUACGAUUGAAAUAAUGAAAUCAUCUAAUACGAGUUCAUGAACAUGAGAAAAUUCAGAUUCCAACUAACAGGACAGCUCUACACCCCUCUGUACUUGUCAUUUUCUUUUGACAUCUGACUUGUACUUCAGAUCAAAAAUUUAUUUUCAAAAGAAUCUCUAAGUUGGAAAUCAACAAUUCAUUUUCUCAAGCAUCACUAAGUUGGGAAUCAACAAUGUAUUUUCUCCCCCGCAAAAAAAAAAACAAUGUAUUUUCUCAAGAUUCUCUAAGUUAUAAAUUGGAGAAGACUCUUACCCUGGUAUAGGCACAAACGCUUGCCUCAGAAGGUCCUACUGGGCUUCCCCGUCUAAUGAACUUCCCUUCCUUGAAAAUGUAAAGCAUAGGAAUGCCUGUUGACAACUCAAGGCUGAUUACCUGAAGAGAGGAUUUUUCAGUCAAAACAACAGCAUGCAGAGAAGAAAAAAAAAUAAAAGGAAGAGGAUGAAAUGAAAUUACAAUUGCAGAAGAAUAUAUCACCUCUUGAGAUGUCAAUUUGUCAAGCUGCAUUAUAAUUGAACGGAGUGAAUUCCCAUGUGCAGCAAUCAUCACAUGCUUUCCAGCUGUGAGUUGAGGAACAACCUAUGUGGCAACAAACAACUACUUACAGGUCAGAUGGAAACUACAAGAACAGUUGCAAAUUCUAUGACAAAUUUUUGAAAAAAAAACAUGGAAAAUUUUGAUAUUUUUGUAACAUCGUCAUACAUAAACAUAGAAGAAUAAAGGUUAAUAAUUGUUCAUGUUAGUGUCGACAUAUCCUUACAUGUUCCUUGAAAUAAGCAACAGCUCUCUCUGCACACAUCUCUAGACUUUCACCAUUUGGGGGUGGAAUAUCAUAACUACGACGCCAUUUAUGAACUUGUUCAUUGCCAAACCUGUCUGCAGUUUCCUGCUUAUUAAGGCCUUGCAGCUCACCAUACCUAGAAAGUCCCACGGAAUUACAAUUUUAUCUUUUUUUUAGGUAAAAGAAUUACAAUAUUAUCUAGGUACUAGAAGAACAUAAAUCAAAAAAGGGGGAGAAAUUCCUACAUUCGUUCAUUCAGUUGCCAAGCUGUUAUGACAGGAAUAGACUGUUUCCUUGUCUCUUCACUGUACACCUGACUUCACAGGUGUGCUUGCUCACUCUCAUUGUGAACAAUGAUUGGAACCUGUAAGUACAUAGUUUCAUAAUCCAACAUAACUGUUUAGGACAGUAGAUUUACAGAACAGAACAUGAUGAUUACAGAAACAUUUAGCAGCAGCAAGAUGCACAACCUUCUUCCUCCGAUGCUGCAUCAUCGCAAGCAUUGCAGUCAUCUGAGCACGAAUUAGCGAAGAGGUAAAUAUCACAUCGAUCGGGAUACUGCAAAUCCGUUUUCCUGCCUCGAUAGCCUCCUCGACGCCCUUGGGUGUCAGGGGCACAUCGACGCAGCCAGUGAACAGGUUUUUCUCAUUCCACAAUGAUUCUCCAUGCCUUAUCAAUAUGAGGGAACUUUCACCUGCAAGAAAACAAUGAGACCAACUAUAUAAAACUACAUAUCUAUGUAACGAAACAAAACUAGUGAAUCACUGCAUUUAUGCUAGUUUAUUCAAAAGAAAAGAGUGCAAAUUACUUGAUUUCUUGGGGGUGUGAUCACUGUUGCCAUUGGAGUGUAGCUGAACCGGCUCCACCACCGAAGACCUCGAUGCACAAACAAAACCAAAACCAAAUUGCUGCCUGAUUGGGUCUCCACCGGUGAGAUUGGGUGUGCACAAUGGCGCUGUGAGAUGUUGCCGCAGCCAUUACAAUCUCAGAACACAAUUUACUGACAAGGUUGAGCAAUUCUUCAGUUAAUUUUUAUUGCAAACAAAGGAGAAAUUUUAGAAUUAGUCCACGAGCCAAGAACACCCUGCAAACUAAGAAUCAAUGGAUCCGUGGCUAGCAAGGAAGAAAGGAGCCGGCGAGGCGAAACCAAGUCGGAGAGACCUCGAGCACGGCGAGGUGGUGAUCCCGGGAGCAGCGAGGAAAAUGAGGAGACAAAACAGGUAGCUAGCUAAGUUUCUUUCCUAUCUCCAUUAUAAAUAGCUGCUGCUUAGCUUGCAGCCAGACAGGUACUCGAUGAACACGUGAUGCUUGCUACUACAUGCUAAGGCCAAAACAAGAGUGUAGAGUACUAUUAAUGGACGAACGAAUAUGGCAUGGAGCUAAUUAAACUCGAUCAAAUGGGGUUAAUUAAGCUCUGAUAAUUCUAACACUAGUGACAAAUUAAUGUGCAACACCAACACAUGUGGCCCCAACACGUAGAACGCAUAUGUUGUUGUCAGCUAAAGCGCAAAUGCCGUCACGCCAAAUAACCUCACAUAGCCCAUACUGACCCAGCAAGUUUGACCACGGUUCACUUAUCACGUCAUCUGAAACCAAUUUCCAAGCCACGUAAGAAGUUGAUUUACACCCGUAUUUAAAGUUGAUAAGAAGGCGUUAUACCCGGUUUUACGGUUUAGCGAUACGACCAACGGAGGAGCAGCAGCAGCCUCCGCCCGCCGCGUCGUUGAGCUCUCGUGCGGCGUCGCGUCGCGUCGGUUACUCGGUUGGUUUGGCGACUUGGCACGCGCGCCAUGCAGAAAGCAAAGCCGAUCGAGUGCAUGGACGCACGUCGCAGUGACCGUGAAUUCGAUCCGGCGCGGCGCCGCCAUGGACGCGGUCCGUCCACUCCAGCCAGCCGAUCGCGAGUGGCCCCCCAACCCGACAAAACCUCCUCGCCUUUCACUCGCUACAUCGAUUUGCCAGCCACGCUACAUAAACCGUACAAAACCAUAUCCUCCCCCAUCGCCUCGCCUCGCCGAUCGAUCGACGGACGACGGCCGGAACAUAGCUGUAGAUCGAGCUGAAUCGCCGGCGGCGGCCAUGGGACGGGUGAAGCUGCAGAUCAAGAGGAUCGAGAACAUCCCGAACAGGCAGGUGACGUUCUCCAAGCGGCGAAACGGGCUGAUCAAGAAGGCCUACGAGCUGUCCGUCCUCUGCGACAUCGACAUCGCCCUCCUCAUGUUCUCCCCCUCCGGCCGCCUCAGCCACUUCUCCGGCCGCCGCAGGUAAAUUAAUUAAGUUUAAAUCAAAUCAAAUCAAAUUAAUUAACCACAUGCAUGCAUUCGACUUCGAGCAUGCAAAUUUGAUCAUAUAUAGUCAUGUAAUUUUUUGCGACUUUGUAGGAUCGAGGACGUGCUCACAAGGUACAUCAAUCUCCCAGAAAGUGACAGAGGAGGGUACGUAAACUUCUUCGACGGAAAAGGUUCUUCUUUUUAUUUUUUUUCAUUUGAUGCAUUAUUACCGUUUUACUCGUGAGGAAGUUGUUAAUAUUGAUCAAGAAACCGUUUGCCAAUUAUUCCUAUCGCAUGCAGAACUAUCCAAAACAGAGAGGUGAGGGUUCUCUUGCCUUAACUUUUCUUUUUUUUUUCUACAUCGUUUUUGCUAUAUAAUUUCUCUCAUCAUCAACGUGUUCAUCGAUGCAGUAUUUGAUCAACAUGCUCACCCAGCUCAAAUGCGAGAGCGACGUCACCGAGGAUCUCACUAACACGUACGUAGAGCUAGCUCGAUCGCGAUUCAUUCUUAAUCAAACGAUCUGCAUUAUGCUUCAGUUUCACAACGAGAUUUUAACCUGAACCUAGCACUCUUCCUCGUGUUUGUUCUUAAUCUCGGUGCUCUUGCUGAUCCAGGAGCAGUAAGGCGCCGGUUAACUCCAACAUUGAGGUAAUUAACAUUUCUCGCACAUGAACACCACUGUCAAUUGAGCUCUGAAAAAAUCUCUGAACCCAACGCUCUGAAACUGAACCGAUCACUGACUCUCACUCAGGAGCUUCAGCAAGAGAUCAGGAGAUGCCAGCACCAGAUGCAGCUCACAGAGGAGCAAUUGAGGUGCAGUAAUAUCAAUACAAUAUAUGAAUAUCGUCUCAUUCUCUCGAUUAAUUAACUUGCGAUCCAUGCUAGUUGCAAUGGUUUUUUCUGGCGUUGGGUUUCAGGAUGUUUGAGCCGGACCCGGCCAGGUCUGCAUCCAUGGAGGACGUCGAGGCCAGCGAGAAGUUCAUCGCCGGCAUCCUCAGCCGCGUCGAGGAGAGGAAGGUGAGCACAAGUGUUAAUUUGAUCACUCGAUUAAUGGCGCUGUAAUUAGUGGCCGAGAGUGAUAUCCGAGGAAUGAUCACAUCAGAUAAUAGGAUUAAUGACAUGAUCUUCAAAUAAUGACGAUUUUUACAGUGAUCGUCUAGCUUAAUUUUCAGGUAAUAGAAAUGAUCCAGAUUUUUUUUCGUCUGCUAACUAACUGCGUUUCUGUUGUCACACAUGUUUUGCAGAGGUAUUUGCUGUGCAGCAUGGGCUCGUUCGACGUGACGGCGUCAACAUCUGCCAUGCAGCAUGUACGCAAAUCUAUCUUUCUAUAGUUGGCUCGUGUAAGCUAUCUUAUUGGCCACGUGGCGAUGUUAAAUUUCAAGAUAAAUCUAAAAAAAUAUGCAUAAGAAAAAAUAGCCAAAAAGAAAGAAAAAGACACAAAUCUAAUUUCUGGAGACUUCCCAAUUAUCUAUCCUCUUUGAGAUAAAUGUAGAGAAUAUAUAUCCAUAACAAAAAUAAAUUACCAAGGAGCAACCAAAAACACAUCAUCCAGAUUCCAGAGGUUUCCCAAAAUGUUUUUCCCAUUGCAAUAUAUCUAUGUAUCUCAUGCUGGUUGGUUUCAUGCUAGCUAAUUCGUUGCCCUCAUAAUCCUUUAGUUAAGCAACACGUGGCGAGAUACAAGCGGUAGAAAGAGCGCGGGUAAGAAACCCCUCAUAAUCCUUUAGUUGAGCAACACGUGGCGAGAUACAAGCGGUAGAAAGAGCGCGGGUAAGAAACCCUCUCUAUAAAACUAGCAAAGCACGUUACGACGGUGAAUUAAAAAAAAGAGAGAAGAAGUUCCACUGCAUGUGCGUAGCUACGCCAUGCUGCACCAUAAUCCAACCGUGCAUGAUCAAACUAGUGCAAACACAUAAAAGAGGGGAAAAGGAAAAAAAAUAAAAAGACGAAAAAAUAUUUUUUUUGUAAAAUUCUUUGCAAAUUAUUCGGGACAAGUAUCGUGACCACUUGUAUUACGAGAAACUAAAAAGGAUAAAUAGAAAAAAAUAAAUGACAGAAACAAUUUUGCUCUUUUUAAGAUUGAGUCGAAGACUAUAACCCUGAUAAUCAUUUUCUAAAUAUAUAUAUUUUCUGCUUAUACUAUAAAAUAAAUAAUAUGUAUAUCUUUUAACUUUUAGAAAACGUUACAAUUAUGAUAAAAAAAAUACCGGUCUUGGAUCCAUAUCUAGAUUCUUAAAGGCCAUACACAUAGGCUAAUAGAGGAAACGCCAAUCGACAAGUUGAUUUUUUAAUAUAUUAACCUAACUAGCUCCAUCACUAUCUCUCGUUUUGUAUUACGUCAUAAACAAUGUGUAAAAUAUUCAUAGACAAAUUAAUUAUGCUGAUCACACCUUAUUAUAAAUUAUCACAUGUGCGUGUGCAGCUGUAUCUACCGCAGCAGCAUCAGCACGGGGACAUCACUGAUAAUGGGUUUGGAAGCGAUGAGGUGGCCUCGUGGGUCUCUGAGGGGAUGCCGCCGACAACCUCGUCGGUGGCGUCGAUAUUCGCCGGAACUUCAGAUUCCAUGAUGUCUUUUAGGUAAGAAAGAUAGUAGAUAACAAGCUUUUAAAAACUAGAAUAGAAUGUACCUGUACUCUAUUUAUGUGAGCUUAAAUUUUUUUUUCUUCAUGGUCAGAGAUCAAGCGGUGUACGACACGAUGAGACAAGAUGCAUGUGUGGAUCAGACAGUGGUCCCGGAGAUGGGGAUGUGCCAUGUGGACCAGCAGAACCAGAGUGACGACUGGCAGGCGUACACGUCGGCGGAGUUCCUCAACGCGCUAAUCCCGCCCACGCCGUUCCCUCUCGACGACGAGGUGAUGUCAUAAAUAGAAUAGCUGACGUCAGCAUGAUAACGUAGAUAUUGGAUCUGGUACCUCCGGUAACAUACAUGAUACCAUGUAGUUAACAGAUUUGAUAACUAUAUAUCAUGUUGAUGUCAGUAUAGUACCGUAGAUAUUAUCUAGUACUUUCGGGUACCAGGCAUGAUAUCUCGUAGGUACCAAAUAUGAUAGUUAUGUAUCUUGCUGACGUCAAUACGAUAUACAUCGAACCUAGUACAUAUCGUAUUAAACAUUAUAUUCAGUAGGUUCCAGAUCUGGUAUUUAGGUAUUAUGUUGACAUCAUCUAUUUCAUUGGAACGGUAUACCAUUCUACAUUCUAUAUUGUUUCUGUUAAUAUGCACCAAUAAUCCACUCCAACAUAUUUUUGAUGCGAUGACUGACGACGCUGAACUUUUUUUUAAUGAAUUAUCAUGAGAUUGUUUCUUUUCUUUAUUUUACACACACAACUCUAAACUGUUGUGUGUGGAGUGCAGGAUACGAUGGGCCCGAUGUUGGCGUCAUCACCGCUAUUGAUGCCCGGCAUCCAUGACCAGCAGCCGCCGGUGGAGGAUAUGGCGACGGCGGGCUGCUCGCAAGCGCCGGCUAACGAUGGCAACGGGUUAUACGCAGCUGAGGACAUUGCUCCGGUUAACGUUGGUUAAUUAGAUGCUUUUGUACUAGAAAUUUAUGGAAUAUAUAGUGUUGUCAUGUUACUAGUGUGCCAGGAAUUGAAGCUAAGGAUUUUUAGUUUGGAAUUUUUUUUCUUUGAUCAUGAUGGGCUGGGUGUGCCACAAUUAAUGUUAUAUGAUCCAUAUAAUACACCAUGCACAAUGUAAGAUAAUGUUACGUACUAGCAUGUAAUAAGAUAUUAUCCAGUAAGAUCGAGUUAUUUAUCAUCUAGCUGCUGUACUCAUUUGUGUAUGUAAAUCUAAAGGAAAAGUACGAAUUAUCCCCCCUAACUAUAACAAUCGAUCGAAUUACUCCAUGGAACCACAAAAUCGGGCAUUUUACACCUUCAAGUAUUCAUACCGGACAAAUUACCCCCCUGAGCAUUAUUUUGAGUGGUUUCGACUUAAGCUUGUACACGUGGCGCCAAUGUGCCAAUCCAGUCAGCAGAUAAAAAUAAAAAAGUAUUCAGGCCCACCUGUCAUCUCUUAGCCUCAACCAAAUCUCUUCCCAUCCCCAGCGCCCUCUCUCUCUCUCUCUCUCUCGGGCGACUGGCGGCGGAGGUGUACCAUGUUCCGGCGGCCUACAACGCAAGUGGACCUCACUCCAGCGGCCGACGGCGGAGGUGGACCUCGCUCUAGGCGGGGAUGGGCGGCGGACGGCGGGGCGUGCGAGGACGGGCGGUGGACGAUGGCACACGGAAGCGGGCGCGGCUGGGUGGGCGAGGGGAGCGCGACGAGGACGGGCGAGGCAAGUGCGGCGGUGGGGAACAUCAAGGUUAUUAUUCUCUCCUCGGACUCUUCCACACUGUACCGGUCGAAGACGAUGAACUAUGGUUCCUCCCUAAUCUCUCUCUCUCUCUCUCUCUCUCUCAAGCGCUCAGGCGGCUAGCUGUGGCGGUGGAGGUGGAGACGCCCGGGCGGCUGGUGGUGGCGGCAGAGGUGGACCGAGCGGCGGGUGACGGUGGAGGAGGCUGACAGGGCUGCAAGUUGUAGAGGUGCAGCUCGCCUAUCACUGUCGCGCCCUCCACCUACCCAACCUCUGAUGGCUGCGGGCACCUCCUCCGCCGCCCGAGCUCCACCUCCACCCAUCGCCGGCCAAAGCGACCCAGGCGUGCGCGCUGCCACUCGCCACCUAGCUCCGCCGUUUCGCGCUACCGCCCACCGUCCACCCACGCGGGCCGCCGAGAAAGAGAGAGAGAUAGAGAGAAAAGAGAGAGGGGGGAAGAGGGGAAGAGGCGAGCGGUGGUGGGCUAGGAGGGCGAGGCGAGCGCGGCGGGGGCCGUGACUAGGUGCGCAAGGUGAGCGCGGUGGGCACACGGGAGGGUGCUAUGGCGGGCACAGCUGACACGAGAACGGCCUCCUCCUCCGUGGCUGUCUCCUCUCGCGUCUGCCUCUCCUCCUCCUCCGCGUCCUGUUCCCGACGCCGCUCGAGCGUGGCCAGGUCGGUGUCGGCAUCAGCAUCUGCAGCCCACGCGGAGGCGAUGGCGUGGUGGGGAAGUCGGAGCAGGCGGCAGGGGAGAAGCCACCUUCGCUGGUGAAGCCCAAGCGGUCGUCCGCGCCGCCACCUCCACCCCCACUUACUCCCUUCGGCCUUCUCCGCCUCAGCCUUGGCCGUGGCUAUGGCAGCCAACGUCCCGUCCCCUGCGCGCCGACCGCCCACACUGCUCGACCUGCGGCCGCGCCUAAUGAUGCCAGAGAGAGAGAGGAAGAGGAGAAGAGGAAAAGGAAGAGGUGAGAGGGUAUGACGGGUGGGUCCUACCAUGUUUAAGAAAAAAGAAAAUGUUGAUUGGGUUGCCACGCGUACACCACGUAGGACAAAACCGCUUUGGAUUGUGUUGAGGGGUAAUUCGACUGGUAUUAAAAAUUCAGGGUGAGUGAUAUCUGGUUUUCAGGUUUAGAGGGGUAAUUCGGCCGACCACGAUAGUUCAGGGGGUAAUUCGUAUUUUUUUCCUAAAUCUAAAUUUCUAUUCUAUAGUACACUCGUUAUAGGAGAUGCUCGAGAGAGAUGGGUGUGGCUGCAUAGCCGCAGCAACAGCUGGUGCAAAAAAGCAUAGGCGAUCAAGCCCACAAUUGAUAGAUAUAUAAGGAUGACUAGCUGCUUUCGUUUAGAGAUGUUGGAGGGGGACUUUUAGCAUACGUGAAAAUGAGAAAGCUUAUUAACACAUGAUCAAUUAAAUAUUACUUCCUCUGUUUCAUAUUAUAAAACUUUUUAGCAUGUCUCAUAUUCAUAUAUAUGUUAAUGAAUAUAUAUAUAUAUAUAUAUAUAUAUAUAUAUAUAUAUGUCUAGAUUUGCCUAGAUUCAUUAGCAUCUAUAUGAAUGUGGGCAACGCUAAAAAGUAAAGUAAUUUAAAAAAUUAAAUAAAUCAAAAUUUCAAGUUUACAAUAGUUACUACAUCCGUUUCAUAUUAUAUAGUUACUAUAUAUAUAUAUAUGCCUAGAUUUGCCUAGAUUCAUUAACAUCUAUAUGAAUGUGGGCAACGCUAAAAAGUCUUAUAAUAUGAAACGGAUGUAGUAACUAUUAUAAACUUGAAAUUUUGAUUUAUUUAAUUUUUUAAAUUACUUUUAUAUAAAUUACUUAAAAACAUCGUUUUACCAUUUAAAAAACGUGCUAACAAACAACGAGAAAGUUGAAGUUUAAAGUUGAAAACAGAACAGGGCACUUCAGGCUUGAGACUAAAAGCCCAUGAGGAUAUACUACGAAAUUUGACCUAAAAGUGAAAUGCAGCCCAAUAGAGCCAUAUAGGCACAAGCUAGCCCAAUCCUAGGUUUGCUUCUAAGCGUUAAAACUCUCCUCAUUUUAAUUUGAAGGUUCAAAGAAACUGAUAGGUAGUAGUUGACCAUAGAAACCGUAAGAGAGUACUCCCUCCGUACCAUAAUACAAAGAUUUUAACUUUUUGCUUACACUGUUUAACCAUUCGUCUUAUUCAAAAAAAUUUAAAAUUAUUAUUUUCUUUAUUUGUGACUUACUUUAUUAUCGAAACUACUUUAAGCACAAAUUUUUGUUUUUUAUAUUUGCACAAUUUUUUUUAAUAAGACGAGUGGUAAAACAGUACAAUCAAAAAGUCAAAAUCUUAUAUAUCAUGGGACUAAGGGAGUACUACUUCAACGCAAUCAAUCUUGCAGAGCUAAUAAGUCAACUCUUUAUCUUUAUCUCUGUUAUUUAGAAAACCGAAGCUUCAAAAUUACACUGCUACUAGCUAGUACUCCCUCCGUCCCAUGAUAUAAGGGAUUUUGAGUUUUUACUUGUAUCGUUUGACCACUCGUCUUAUUUAAAAAAUUUUAAAAUUAUUAUUUAUUUUAUUUGUGACUUACUUUAUUAUCUACAGUAUCUUAAGCACAACUUUUCGUUUUUUAUAUUUGCAAAAAAAAUUUAAAUAAGACAAGUGGUCAAACGUUACGAGUAAAAACCUAAAAUCUCUUAUAUUGUGGGACGGAGGGAGUAGUAGACUGCUGCCACCACGCACAUGCACGCACGUACUUUUGGUUUCCUCCCAUGAGACACAUAUAACUACGCAAACAAGUUGACCAAACUGGCAUGUUGCUUAUUGUAUUUUGUUCUCAUCAACUAACCCAAGCCAGAGGCAAAUUGUUGCAAACUGAUCACAGGAUAUCGUAUGAUAACAUCAACAGGCUGGGUUAACAAAUUCAUAGUCCAUUUCACGCUCGCCAAAUAUUCUCCAAGUUGGCGUAAUUUGUUUACUUCAUCAGUAGCUAAAUUUUGACCAGCCACCAUAAACAAAUAUAAUUACCAGCUGUAGUAGGCAUAUCGAUGCACAAGUACAUGAAAGGACUUUUUCCCCUCUUCCUCUUCGAGAUGUGCAUUUGCAAAGCUGGCCCCCUCGUGCCAUCUCGGAUCUUGAAAACGCUACAAAUUUUGGGUAUAAUCUUGUUGAUGAGGUUGUCAGGAUCGAGGACACUGGUGGAGAAGUGCUUUUUAGUCCCGGUUCGUAACCCCCCUAUAGUCCCGGUUUUCAAACCGGGACUACCAAUCCGGGACUAAAGAUCGCUAUCUUUAGUCCCGGGUGAAAAAACCGGGACUAAAGAUCGAUCUUUAGUCCCGGUUGAUGACACCAACCGGGACUAAAGAUUUAGUCCCGGUUGGUGUCAUCAACCGGGACUAAAGAGAGGGUAGCGGCAGUCCAUCAGCUAGUCCUUUUUUCUUUUUUAUUUUCUCCCGAAUCGAGUGGUAUGCAUAUCAUCAAAUCAAACCCCAAAUCCACAUCACAACUCCACAGCACGAUUCACAGAUUCACCACAAAUUCAUUCACAAUAUCCAUUCACAUAUUCAUUCACAACAUCACAAAUAUAUUCACAAUAUUGAUUCAAAGGUUCAUUGACAACAUCGAGUCACAUACUCAUUCACAACAUCACAGAUUCAUUCACAAUAUCGAUUCAUAGAUUCAUUCACAGAUCAAAACAUCCAAACCACAAAUUAAAAAAAAUCAAAAAAAAAAAUCGACUCACUGGCCGGCCUCCCAUCCCGCCGUCGGCCGGCCACCCAUCUCGCCGCUUCCCCUCCGGCCGGAUCUGGGGGAGGGGAGGGCGAGGCCGCCGGCGACCGGCCUCCAUCCCGCCGGCCCGCGCCGGGCCGCCGCCGGCCGUCCUCCAUCCCGCCGCUUCCCCUCUGGCCGGAUCUGGAGGAGGGGAGGGCGAGGCUGCCGGCGACCGGCCUCCAUCCCGCCGGCCCACGCCGGGCCGCCGCCGCCCGUCCUCCAUCCCGCUGGCCCGCGCCCGGCCGCAAUCCCGCCGCCGCCAGCCGGCCGCCGCCAGCCCCAGCCCGCACCUGGCUGCCGCCAGCCCGCGCCCGGCCGCCUCCAUCCCGCCACCGCCGGCCGGCCGCUGCCAGCCCGCGCCCAUCCCCCAUCCCGCCGCCGUCGGCUGCCUCUGCAAGAGGAAGAGGGGGAGGGGAGGAGGAGAGGGGGUGAGAGAAGAGGAAGGGGAGAGGAUGAAGAUAAGGAAGGAGAAGAAAAAGAGAUAAGGAUGGGCUAUGCAUGCGCUUGUGCGUGGGCUGGUGCGUACGCUUUAUUCCCGGUUGAUAUUAUCAACCGGGAGUAAAGAUCAUCUUUAGUCCUGGUUGGUGUUACCAACCGGGACUAAAGAUCCCUGGAUCUUUAGUCCCGAUUGGUAACACCAACCGGGACAUCUUUAGUCCCGGUUGGUGUUACCAACUGGGACUAAAGAUCCCAGGGAUCUUUACUCCCGGUUGAUAAUAUCAACCGGGACUAAAGAUCCUAUCUUUAGUCCCGGUUGGUGUUAUCAACCGGGACUAAAGAUAUCGGGGGGCCUGACAAGGCCUGACAGAUUUAGAACCGGGACUAAAGAUCAUUUUUAGUCCCGGUUGGUAACACCAACCGAGACUAAAGAUCAAAUAUGCCCGCUGUAGCCACCAAUCGGGACUAAAGAUCAUCUUUAGUCCCGGUUUUUAGUGGAACCGAGACUAUUGUGGAUUUCGGGCGACCGACCAAAGAUGGUUUCUCCACCAGUGGGAGCUAGGGAUCUGGACUUGUAUCAUUGUAUGGUUGAGAAAAAAAAUAACGGUUCUUAUGGAGGUAUUGAGAAUUACUCUUUCUAUAUAUCAAAAUACAGUAAUUUUAAAGUUUAAAUUUUGUUUUAAAUAUAACAACAUAGUACUUACAAAGAGGAUGUCAUUUACUCAUAAAUUAUCCAUACUACCCUUGUCUUCAUUACCAUCCUAAUUAGGCUCGGACCCACACAAACCCACCUUAAGAACGUUUUUUAUCCUUCUCUUAAUACACGUGCCAUAUUUUAGGGCAUAUGAAGUAUGAAUUUGAUCCUCAAAAGUCUAGCGCCGAAUCUCUAUAGACACUCCAAAAGGACAAACCGUAUAGUGCAGGACGCUCUGCAACAUGGAAGGUGGAUAAAUGACAUCCGUCACAACCUCACUAUCACUCUUAUUUCAAAGUCCAUAAAGAUCUGGGAGGUCUUAGCACUUGAAUGCCCACAACUGACAGAAGGAGUGGAGGAUUCGAUCACUUGGAGGUAAACAGCAAAUGAGGAAUACAACGUAAAAUAUGUCUAUCUUUUCCAAUUUGAGGGAAUAACAACCUCGUCGUUGGCAACGCUGUCUUGGGAGGCAUGGGCCCCGGCGAAAUGCAAGAUCUUCAGUUGGCUUGCGAUUCAAAAUCGGGUGUAGACAACAUAUAGGUUGCAAAUCAGGGGGUGUCCAAACAACUAUUUCUACUAGUUAUGCUUUCGGAACCUUGAAAAUAUCAACCACCUGCUAUUUGAAUGCCCAGUCUCGAAGCAAAUCUGGUUUGGCGUGCUCCAUUAGCUACGAGAAGGGCACAUCAUCCCGAGGUGGAGCACCAGCAUGGAUGUGCUGGAUUGGUGGACACAAGGAACAAGCGAUCCAGAAGCAACAAAAUACAAAGAGCUCAAAUCAGUCUUCUUACCAAUUGCUUGGGAAAUCUGGAGAGAGAGAAAUGUGAGAAUCUUCAGAGGAAAAGAGGCGACAACCCAUUAAAUAAUCAAUCAAAUUCAGGACGAGUUGGGUUGUUUGAGCUUGGGCGGCGCAAAUCACGUUGCGAGAUUGAUGCCAUAAGGUCCAAGGUGGACUGACGUGCAAGCAUGUUUGCAGUCAGGAAUAUACAGUUUUUCAUUUCCCUUCAGUUUUUGCUGUGUACUUAAUAUCCUUCUAUUAAUAAAACGCCAAGCAACCUGUUUGGCCGUACGAAAAUUUUUUUUAUCUGACAUCUCUUUGUACAUCACUUCUAAUUAAUGAGAUACCACGAAGUAUCGUGAAUUACCACUAAAGUUUUACCGAUACUUAUUGGUAUAUAUUUCCUAAAAAAUCGUAGAAUCAUUCUAACCUGAUUACAAUCCCCCCUCCCAAAAAAAGAAAAAAAAAAGCUUUCAGGCCCUCCUACCUAAAAAAGGAAUUGCAGUACCGUUUCAUAUAUACUAGUAUUAGUUGUUGUUAAAGAAGACUACAAUGAUUACCCAAUGAUUAACAGCAUCUUUUGUCACAUCAAGAUUAAUUGUGAAAAUCAUGAAACAAUCACGGAAUCGUGACAAUCUAUUGAAUUAUGAAAAUGGCCCUCAAACCAAAUGUUAUUGGUAGUACACACGUAUCAAUGUCAGUUGGUUGUGAUAUCACAAUAUAAUAGAAGCACAACAAUAUAAUUAAACCCCAUCAAUGGAAAACACCACAUCCAAACAUCACAAUUUAACCGGCUAUACCAAAUACCUUCUCUCCAAUGUUUAAGGAAAAAACGGAGUUGCUAUAAUUAUGACGUCACAUUUUUUUUCUUAAUUUCAAUCAAUUUUUUCCUUAUGUAAUUGCUCUCUCUCUCUCUCCUAUAUAUGUAAGUGUGUUUUUUUUAUCUCUUCUAUCUCAGUGUUAAGUAUAUAAUAAAUUACGGUUAAUCAUAAUUCUCUUAAACAUCAUGUAUUAGAAAAAUAACAAUAUAGUGUAAGUUUUAAAAUUUAUAGUGUAAUUACAAUGUAAAGUAUACAUAUUUUACAAUAUUGUAAAAAAUAAUCUGACUAUUCUUUUUUAAAAGAAUAUGGUGCUAUAAAUAUAGCUACUCCCAAAAUAGCUACAAGUAGAGUCUUCCAUUAGGAUUAUAGAUACCACACCACAAGUAGGGUCUUCCAUUAGGACUGCAUGCCUUGAUGAACGGCAUACCACACUACUCCAGUCUCCAGAUACUGUACCUCUUGAAGACUUGAACAGUUAGGUGGCAAAUGAUCUUACUCUUUAAUGAAUCAAAGGAAGUAACCAUCCAAGUCUGCAACCAUGGGAUUUUUCUCAAAAAAUACAUUGGCAAAAAUUUUGCAAUGAGCAUGGCAUGUUUGAGAAACACAUCUCGCUCUUGCAUGGUAUGACAUGGCCUUGGUGCCUGCCUUUAGCUAGGGUUAUUUUGCACUUUUGCUUUACUAGCCGUAUGUAUUGGUGCAGCGAAAAGAUCAUUUAGAAAACAAAUUGCUAGUAGAUUUUACCAUUCUUAGAAUAUUUUAGAAAAGAAAAAACAAUCAAAUUUUUUUAGAGAAAAAACAAUCAAAUUUGCAAGGAGAUGGAUCGGUGGUUACAUACCAAAUCGUACUUUAAAAAACCAGAAGAUCGCUGCUUGGCUCAAAUAUAGGGGGCGUCUGAAACAAAUGUAUCACAGAAUUGAAACAGACACACUAACCAAUUUUUCAUCACAGAUGUAUCAAAACCAUACUUGAUUUUGUAGUAAUAGUGUCUUGCAACACUUGUGCCAAAAGGUUCGGAAUUAAAAAUAAAGUUUGAGAGGGCCUAUUUUUAAAAUAUUAAAAUAAAAUGGUUCAAAUAAUAAAAAAUUCGGCAAGGUGUGGUUGCUACAAAAUGUGUGGCUAGCAAAAUGCUAACUAGCCAAAGUUAGACAAAAAUAUAUGUCUAUGAUAUGUGAGACCAUACAGAGAAGAGGUGUGGCUAGUCACAAUUGCGUCAUCAAUCAAAUAAGUAACUAAAAAACUAUAGCGCCGCUAAUUUUAGACGUGGCAAGUUGUGACAUAUAACCAAAAACUUUUUUUAGAGGAUACAACUCAGAAUGCACAAGAACACACACCACAACACAUGUAAACACACGCGUGCGCGCCAACACACUCUAGAACCAAACAGACCCAUGGUCGAUCAGGUCCUCACAUAGAAGUGUAUCACAUCAAUUAAAAAUUGGGUACACUUGUGAAGGAAUACCCAUAUAAGUGCUUCACAUCAUUUGUGGCAUCACCAAAAGGCACAGGUACAUUCUUUUUUUUUUCCCGCAAGUUGCAAUGACACUAUGCAAUACUGAUAUGCAGCCACUUGAAGGGAUUUCAAGUGCUAGAAUGGAACCUCGAGCAGGCAACAACUAUAACUCGGAAUCUGAAACUGUGUCUAUUCACCAGCAUCGAUCUUUCCCCAUCAACCCUCCAUUUCUUAUUGCCAUAUGUUGGGCCUCCUUCUAAGUGAUGUCACAUAUUAAAAAAUAUGGAUAUGUAAACUAGAAGCAACUUAACUUUAAAUAAUCGUAUUUGUAAUUGUUAAUUUGCACUGCUACAAGCACGCGAUACGGAAGGAGCUUGCCUGUUCCCCACCCACCAACCACUGCAAACCCGACUCUAACCAAUCGUAACCUACGAGUCAUCUCCAUCUACCCAGUACCCACACACUCUCAUUUGUCUUCUUCUGCCUAUGUACUCCCUCCAUUUCACAAUGUAAUUUAUUCUAUCAUUUCCCACAUUUAUAUUAAUGUUAAUGAAUCUGGAUAUACAUAUUCAUCUAGAUUCAUUAACAUCCAUACGAAUAUGGAAAAUGGUAGAAUGACUUACAUUGUGAAACGGAGGAAGUAGUGAGCAUACAUGUGAUCCUUUGGCACGUGUUGAGAUUCUAUUCGUCAGGUUGCCUAUUACAUCAGAACUCGUAUAAUGACAUGUAAUCUCUCAGUCCAAAAAAGAAUCCAAUCUCCAAAUCCAAGAUUGAUUUUUUUUUAAUAAAAGAAGACACAAGUAGACGGGUGAAAAAGGAUGGGACGGCGGCGGCCUCCCCCAACCACGGCAAGGGGCCCGGCCACAGCGGGAUCGAUCUACCCGGCCACCAAGGGGACAGGCUCCUCUGGAGGCUCGAAAGCCAUGGAGCACCAAACACUCUACGAGCUAUAUGCAGACUAAAGCUGAUGGUGAUUAAGUUAAUUUAAUCCAACAGUUUGUACCAUCAGCACUUGUCACAGUUGCACUGCUGCUAAUUACUAACUUGUAAUCUGAGCUAGCAUAAUUAGCUAUAGAGCUGACGAGUCGUGAGAUCUAGUGGUGGCUAGCUCGAGCUGUUCAUGCACGAGGCUACAGUUGGAAGAGGAGACAGAGUAAGAUGCGAUGGUGCCCUCUGGUCUGUGGUGUAAUCAGGAGGCCGGUUUAAGCAAAUGCAGGGCACGUUUCGAGCCCUGAUUUGCCGGGCUUAAGCCAGGUAAGCAGGUAGCCAUGCUGUGAGAUGGAAUAUAUUCGGGUAAAGAGGCUGAAUCACACCCAUUUUUUUUAUUACAACACAGAUAUAUACGCACACAUAAUGCUACACACGCAACACAACCAACACUGCAUUUAAACACCAACAAAUACAUCCCAUAAUACACGCUCGUUUACCUCACUUAUUUUAGAGAGAUGAAAACCAACGGUAAAUCUUAACCUCACUAUUUUUUCUAGGAAAAAGUACGAAUUACCCUCCUGAAGUAUUGAGUGAGUAUGAAUUACCCCCUAAAACCUGAAAACCAGUUAUUUUUCACCCUCAACUAUCGAUACCGGAUGAAACCCCCCCCCCCGAGCAGUUUUGUAAGUGGUUUUGGUCUACGUGGCAGUACAGUCAGCAAGUUUUUUAUUAAAUAAAGGAUAUGGCCCACCUGUCAUGACAUAAUAUUCUCUCUCUCUUUCCCUCUCACCCUCUCUCUCUCCCGUUAGAUGCCAGCGGCUGCGGCUCGCGCACUGGCGGCAGAGCGGCGGGGCGAAGAAGUGGUGGCAGAGCAGGCGGAGCGGCGGCGGCCGAAGCAUGCCGACAAUAGCGGGGCGGGCAGAGAGGAAGGAGGUGAGGAGGCCAGGGAGCGGGCUGAGGAGGGAGGAGACCGUCGAGGGAGCGAGGAGGCAGAAGAGUCGUCGUAGUCAUACCCCAGCCGCCGCUGUCGUUGUUCGAGCCGCUCCCUCCGGAGUACGAUGAGCCCAGCCUCCCUUCCGCUGUCCCCUCCUCCCGCCGCCUCAAGCUCCGGCAAGCGCGGUGGGGAGGGCGAGACGGGCGCGGGUGCCGAGGUCCCGAGGACAUUGAAGAUGACGACGGCAAGCUCGGGCGUGCGCACCGACCUCCCGACGGCCCGAGAGAGGGAUGAGAGGAGGGCACUUCGUCGCCCUCGCUACUUCGCCGCCCUCCGCUGCGACAGGGGGGCACAGGCGCCGUCACGCCCGCCGCCUGCCCUGGCCCCACCACUCCCCGCCGCGCCCGCCGCGCCCCCGCCACGCUCGCCGCCCGUCCGUGCGCCGCUGCCGCCGUGCCAGGGGGGCACAGGCGCCGUCACGCCCACCGGCCACCGGCUGCCUCUCCACCACGCCCGCCGCCUGCUCCGACCCCACCACUCCCCGCCGCCCGCGGCCGUGCUUGCCGCCCAUCCGCACGCCGCUACCACCGCGACAGGAGGGCACGGGCGCCGUCACGCCCGCUGGCCACCGGCCGCCUCUCCACCACGUCCGCCGCGCCCCCGCCGCGCCCGCCGCCUGCCCCCGCCCCACCACUCCCUGCUGCGCCCGUCGCCGCGCUCACCGCCCGUCCGCGUGCCGCUGCCGUCGCGCACUGCCCGUUGACGCACACAUGAGAGAGAGAAGGGGGAGGGGGAAGACUGAAGAGAGGUAAUGACAGGUGGGCCCUUGUGUUUUUUUUUUGCUGAUUGGAUUUCCACGUCGAUGCCACGUGUAUGCCACGUAGGAGCAAAACCGCUCAGUAUUGAGUCGGGGGAUAAUUCAACCGGUAUCAAUAGUUUGAGGUGUAAUAUAUCCGGUUUUGUGGUUCGGGGGCUAAUUCGUACUGUCACAAUAGUUUGGGGGGGGGGGUAAAACGUACUUUUUCCAUUUUUUUAUUGAAAAUCGACAUAUGAGAAAAAAGAUAUUUGAAGGGAGAGACGUCCCACCAAAUAUUUUUUAAGAAUAAAGUGUGAGGUUAGGCAUUCAAUAUAGGACCUCGGACUUGAAACACACAUCCCUUGCCACUGCACUAUCAAGUGCAUCUCAAAAACUGAUAUAUGUAUGCGUAAUAUUCGUGGACAUCCAAUUUUAUACUCUGAUUGGUAAGGUCGUACACCCUUAACUCCAUCAUCAUGCUACUAAUGUUUCCCGGAAUCACACCAACUUGGCCGAAUCAGCUUCAUAAGAAUGGAGUAAUUAAAACCCGAUUAACUGGCUCAAAAGGUGGAAUUAUCGAUCGUGAACAGAUGAAAAGAUAUGUCAUGUAAGAUCCACAAAUCUAAUGUGGACGCUUUAAAGGGGUCUUCUUUUUGUAUUUAAGGUGACAAUAUAUGGCAUUACUAGCUAGGAGGACCAACGGUUUUAUGCCCACUGAAAAUAAUGGUUCACCGGCUUCUUGCAAGAGAGAUUGCAAAGGAAAGGAUCGAUGUGAAAGGACAUUUGGUCUGGUGCGUACCAGCUCUCAUUAAGCAGUCUAGCAACUUGAAUUAUUGGUUGUUACUUGUUAAAGUGAGCAAUUCUUUUCUUUAGUCAGAGCUUAAUCACUUUGGCUAUAACAUCAAAUAUUUUCUUCUCCUCCGUGGUAUGUUUUCGUAAACUCGACGUUGUUUUCCGUAAUUCAUAUGGUUCAAUACUAACCUAUGAUGUUACCAUAAAGGAGCAUGGUGUUAUACGCAUUCAUACUACCCUCUUGAAAUAAGUUAUCAAGAACACAUUUUAUUUCAUUAUUGGUGGCUUAACAUAUAUCGACUUAACUAUUAGAAUUUGUGGUUCUUUUAGUAUGUCAACUGUUUUUAUUUUUUAAGAGUAGCUGGGGAUUUAUCCUAGUACUCUUUUUAUUUAUUUCAAUAAGAAUUAAUUGGUUGUGUGCUUCAUGACAGAAACUGGAGAUAUAAUGCAUUUCCAUUAUCUUAAAAAACUGAAUCAUGUAAACCAUCAUUACUAUCAACAUAUCUUUUGAGUUCCAUGUCAUGUUGAAUUAGCUAAGAGACAAAUUAACUAGGGUUGUGUUUGGUACGAAGGGUUAGCAACCAGGCCCUGCACACAUAAAUGGAGCGACUCAUUAGCACAUGAUUAAUUAAGUAUUGGCUAAAAAAUCCAAAAAUGAAUUAAUAUGGUUUUUAAAGCAACUUUCGUAUAGAUUUCUUUUAAAAAAACACAUCAUUUAGCAGUUCGGGAAAUGUGAUUUUGGACAAUAGGAGAGUAAAAGUUGAGAAAAGAGAGUGGUGAACACACCAUAGUUCUAGUUGUCAACGAGUUGUACCAGCCUACGGUAUUUGUAGAGUUUGGGGAUCGUUGGUAUCCAUGUAUAUGCGAGAUUGAGAUAAAAGAGAUGGGAGACAGAGAUUUUUUAUAUAGGUUCGGACCCCUUAUCUGAUAGACAAUAGUUCUACUCCUGUUGGUUGAAGCUGAUGUUUCCUUUAUAUAUCAAUAUUUUAUGAGUAUAAUAUUUGGGAUGACCUAAUAUAGUCCAUGUCGGCCCAACGGCAUUGAGCUCUCACAUGUGGUCAAUGGCUAGCGUAGUCAGCUUCGCCAAAUAUGAAUUCGGCGAGAUUGGAGAAAUCUCUAAAUAUCCCUCAUGUCGACCUUUGUGGCUCCUACAUAGGGUUUGUCUAGAUUUGUAUUGGCUUGUCUUCCGUGUUCGUCUGUCUAAAUCUGUCUAGACAUGUCCUCUCUCCUCUUAGCUAGGGGGUCUUAUAUUUAUACCCUCGAGUCUCCCAUUAUCCAUAUAGAUCUAGAAAGACAAGUUUGGAUAUGAUCCAAGUAGUCUUUGUAGUGUCCGAGUAGGACUUUAUUUCUCUUUCUUUAUUCAGAAUAGCUUCCAUAUAUAAGGCUUGAUUCUGUAUAAUACUUGGUUUAUGAUGGGUUCCACCACACUUAACACAAAAAUAUUAGGUAUGCCUUAUCAUAAUAUUGACACUAAUUGCAUACAUAUAACCGUUCGGCCAUUGUUUCUUUACGAGGGGAUCUCACCUGAUCAGCCUAGGAUGUCAGUCAGUCCACCACUACUACAAGUCAGUACUCAAUACAACAGAUGAUCGAUCACACAUGGACGACGACAUAUGUCGCGUAUAGGACAAGGCGACAACCAUGUGAUCCCACUGUUGCUGCGGGCGUACGUGCACGCGCGCGCGCGCUACGCACACAAAAUGACCCGCCCGCCCGGCCGCCCGUGCACGCGCCGCUACGCAAGUGAGACACCCCGCGUGGGGCACGCGCGCGCGCGCUACACAAGUGAGCCGGCGCGCGCGGCAGCUAGCGAUCGAUCGAUCGAUAGCCACGCCUCGCGUACGUCGUGGGAGGGGGCACCGGAUUCGACGGGAAUACGGGGGCUUUCCCCCGCGCGCGCGCGCGUCGAUCUGCUGCGUCGUUGCACUGCACGUACGCGCCAAGCAGUCGUGGUCGACGGCGUCGUCGUCGUCGUCGGGUUGGGUCGAUACCUGUUUUGAGCCGCGCGCAGGUCGCGGGGCGGCUGGGCGGUUGGGCGUGCGGCGUUUGAUGAUUGGUUGUUUUUUUAUGUUGUUGUUCUCUCUCCCUCGCGGUUGUGUUGUGUUGUGUGGGGGGAGAGGAGCAUAUGGAGCCGGGCAGCCGGCCAAGCGGGGAUUCUUCGAGGCCCCAGAAUAAAUUAAUACUAUAUUCUUUCACCUGUUUGUUGGGUUCCAUUGUGACUUUGUGUGAGUGAUUCGAAUAAUUUAGAAGAAGCCUUCGGCGGGUACUCCUCUGCUAGGUGUCGAGAUCUUGGACGGUUGUUUGCUUUGCACAGCUGAUGCUGAUGCUGAUGCAUCUUGGGUUUUGUUUUCUUUUAACCCCUAUAUUUGCUUUUUCUUUUUUGUUUGUCUACAUGUGCACGGAUGCAUAUGACUACGUACCUACAACACAUUUACAUGCCUAUGAAUACGAGUCUUUUUAGCACACGACGAAUAUGUAUGUGAAUCUUGCCAAUUUUUAAUAAAACUAGCUGGGUGGCCUGCGCAAUUGCGCGGCUAGCACCCAAACAAAAUCAUAUAUUUUUUAAGUAUGUUUUUACUUAAAAUUUAUUAAAUAGCUAUCUCGUUGUCUUAAGACUUUGAAAAAUCUUAUCAUCCCCGUGUUUCUAAUUAUAUAGUUUUUAAAAGUCACACCAGCUGCUAUCCCUUACUUUUGUCAUCUCCUUAUUUGUUUGCUUGCUUGAUCUACCGCUAUUACUAUUCAUUAUACUUGUAACCUUUAAAAAUUGGAUCUUAUAGUUUUUCGAGUUUACUGUCUUCUUGUGUUUCUUUUUAUAGUUUCAUUAUACUCAUCUACGGCUCGUUCAUUGUGUUAUAUCUUUAUUGUCAUUAGGAUUUUAAAAAUCGAACAUAAUUAUCGUUCGGGUUCCAUUUUCUACUUUCUAGAAGUCCCGCCAAACCGUAAGCGGUUUUGCCAUUGUACUCCUCUAUGGCUCGCCCACUGCCUCCCUUCUUUAUUGUCAUUUUAUUGUCAUUGAGAUUUCAAAAUCGAACAUGAUUAUCAUUGUUUUUUUCUACCUUUUAAAAGUUCCGAACCUUUAAAAAUUGGACUUUAUAGUUUUUAGACUUUAUUGUCUAGUUUAGUUUCACUUUUUAUAAUUUUUAAAAGUCUUGUCAAACGAUGCCACUAUACUUCUAUACGACCCGUUCGCCGCCUACUCUUUAUUAUCAUUGAAAUUCUAAAAAUCGAAUAUAACUAUCGUUGGAAUUUAUUUUUUAUUUUCUAGAAGUCCCGCCAACCGUCGGCGGCUCUGCAACUAUACUCCUAUACAUCAUGCCCGCUGCUUCUCCUUUUUAUUGUCAUUGAGAUUUUAAAAAUCGAAUAUGAUUAUUAAUGAGGUUUAUUUUUUUACUUUAUAGAUGUCCCAGCAACCAUCUUGCCCAUUUGCUUCACGUCCUACCUGUCGUCCCUCCUUUUAAUCAUCAUUAGAAUUCUAUUUGGUUUUUUAUUGAUAGUUUUUAUUAAUCGUAUCAACCACCACCACUCUACUACUUUAUAGGCCUGUUACUUAAUUUAUCUCGUCGUGUGUUUUAGAUGGUGUUUUCUUCUAAUAUUCAUUAUUUUUUAUACCAAUUUUUGUUAUUUAUAAAUUGUAUUCCUAAUUGAAAUCUUUUUUCUUUUUCUAAUUUCAGAAUUUAUUUAUUUUUUGUUUCAAAUUUUAAUUAAUACCGUAUAGUGUUCUUUUAUUUAUUUUUUUAAAUUUUAGUUGUUUCAAAAUUGUAUUCCUACUUAACUCUCUUUUAUUUUUUUCUAUUUUUGGAUAUUAUUUUAUUUUUUGUUCUGAAUUUUAAUUAAUCUCGUAUCGGAUUCUUAUAUGGAUUCUUCUUUGAAUAUUGCUUAUUUUUAAUUCCGAAUUUUAGUUAAUUUUAAAUUGUAUUCCUACUUGAACUCUUCUUUUCUUUUUGCUAAUUUUGGAUUUUUAUUUUAUUUUUAUUACGAAUAUUAACUAAUCUCUCUUUUAUUUUUGCUAAUUUCAUAUUUUAUUUUUAUUUUUGUUUCGAAUAUUAACUAAUCUCAUAUUGGGUUUCUUAUAUGUAUUCUUCUCUUAAUAUUCCUUAUUUUUAAUUCCAAAUUUAAGUUAUUUUUAAAUUGUAUUCUUAUUUAGACUCUCUAUUUAUUUUCUAUUUUCUAAUUUUUUUAUUUUUAUUUCUAAUUUUAAUUAAUCUCGUAUUGGGUUCUUAUAUGGACUAUUCUUUCAAUAUUGUUUAUUUUUAAUUCCAAAUUUCAGCUAUUUUGAAUUGUAUUUCUACUUGGACUCUUCUUUUCUUUUCCUCCUAUUAAUGUGUUAAUUUCUAACCCCCACAGCAAACGUGGUGCCUCCUUUCAAAGCUUUUUUAAUAAUAUAACUAGCAUGGUGGCCCGUGCAGAUUGCGCGGCUAGCAUCAUUAUAUUUUCUCUCAUAUAAUAGUAUAUAUCUUUUCUCAUUAUAUUAUUCAAAUAUAUUAAAAUGAUAGCAUAAUUUUAAAUUUUGCAAUAACUUUACAAAACUACUAAUAUUCAUAUUGUAUUUUAUAUACGUGUUAGUUAUUAAUUAUUUUUAAUAUCAAAUUUUAGUUAUUUGUAAAUUAUAUAUAUUCCUAUAUGGACUCUAGACUCGUCUUUUAAUAUUUCUUUUCUUUAAUUCCGAAUUUUCUAUAAAUUGUAUUUCUAUAUAGACUCUAUGCUCUUUUUCUAAUAUUAUUUAUUUUUAUUUCUUAAUUUUUAUUAUCUCUAAUUGUAUUUCCAUGUGGACUCUGAACUCAUCUUUCAAUAUUCUUUAAUUUUUAUUUUUGAAUUUGGGAGAAUAGCUACUUUAGUCCCUAAAGUUUCUCUGUAGGAUCAGUUUAGUCCCUAACCUUUUAAAUGGUCCAAAGAAAUCCUUAAACUUUGUCAUAAGGUCUAGAAUAGUCCUUGGGUCCACCAAAAUCAUUAUAUGGAUAUGCCAUGUCAUCAUUCAUGCAAAAUCUAUGAAGAAUUGUCCAAUUUACCUUUACGUAUAUCAUACAAAAAUAAAUAUAAGGAUGAAUUAGACAUAACCAUAGGAAAAAAUACUUAUCCUUUUUUUUCACCCUUUUGAGGUAUAUUUUUGCUCUUACAUUUUACCUUUUAUUUUUUAUUUUCCUAUGAUAUAUGUAAGGGUAAAUUGGACAAAUCAUAUAGAUUUUGCAUAGGAAUGUGACAUGGCAUGUCCAUGUGGCGAUUUUAGUGGGACCAAGGACUAUAUCAAUCCACAUGACAAAAUUAAAGGAAUUGUUUGGACAAUAUGAAAGAUUAAGGACUAAAAUGACCCAGGAGCGAAACUUUAGGGACCAUAUUAGCUAUUCUCCGUUCGAAUUUCAAUAGCUUCUAAAUUGUAUUCCUAUAUUGACUUUAAACUCUUAUUCCUAUGUUUUUCUUAAUUUCGAAUUUUAGUUACUUGUAAAUUGUAUCUUUAUAUAGACUCUAAACUCUACUUUUAAUUUUAUUAUAUUUAUUCCAAAUUUUAGUUAGUUUUAAAUUCCUAUAUGGACUCUAUACUCUACUUCUAAUAUUCCUUAUUUUUUAAUUCCGAAUUUCUUUUUUUCUUAAUUGUAUUUCUAUAUGGAAUCUAUACUCUACUUCUAAUAUUCCUUAUUUUUAAUUCCAAAUUUCUAUUAUUUCCUAAUUAUAUUUCUAUAUGGACUCUAUACUCUACUUCUAAUAUUCCUUAUUUUUAAUUCCGAAUUUCAAUUAUUUGUAUUUCUAUAUGGACUCUAUACUCUACUUCUAAUAUUCCUUAUUUUUAAUUCCGAAUUUCAAUUAUUUGUAUUUCUAUAUGGACUCUAUACUCUACUUCUAAUAUUCCUUAUUUUUAAUUCCGAAUUUCAGUUAUUUCCUAAUUGUAUUUCUAUAUGGACUCUAGUCUCCUCUUCUAAUAUUCCUUAUUUUUUAAUUCCGAAUUUUAACUAUUUCUAAAUUGUAUUUCUAUAUGGACUCUAGUCUCCUCUUCUAAUAUUUCUUAUUUUUUAAUUCCGAAUUUCAGCUAUUUCUAAAUUGUAUUUCUAUAUAGACUCUGUUUUUUCUUUUUCUCCGAUUAAUGUGAGAAUUUCUAGGUCAUGAGAACGAAUGUUGGGGCUCAUUUUUCUAUUCUUUAAUAAUAUAAUAGAUAAUAGAUAGAUACAUAGAUACAUAGAUAAAACGUGUGCGUAUAUGUAACUAUGGGCACCGAAAUUUUAAACCUCGACUUUAUAGCACGUAAGCAGAUUUUACGGACCUGCUUGUUGCUCAUGAGUUAUGAAGUCAAAUAUGGAUGCGUGAAGGCACCAAGAUUUGAAUUUUACAUACACCUUCAGAUUUUCCCCUUCGAUGCAAGGAUUUGCGCAUGUUAAAAACUAAUGGACAAGAUCUAAUUACGUUGUAUUGUACCUCCGCUUGUCUUCUCUCUUUUGAAAACGCAACCCUGAAGGGAUAGGUUCUGAUAUUACUAGAUCCCGAUGAGAUCUCCUCGCUGUCACAGGAAUCAGAUCUUAAAAUUAUGCACACCAUUGACAAUAACUCUGUCUCCAAGUGAUAAAUUAAAUCAACCUGCCUGUCAGAAUCAACCAAACACAGCCCAAGAUUCCAUCUUCAGAAACAGAGCUCUUGCCAGCUACAACCAGAUUUAGUAAGCCAUUGCUCACUUGUUCCUGCAGCAAACCUGAAGAUUUUCAUGUAAGAUCAACCAAAGCUGUGGAGUUCUUUCUAAUUUGUUGCCUCAUGCACGUUCAGAUGGGCAGAUCUUGAUAUGAAGCGCCAGAACAUUGGGUAACAUGACGUGACCUGCUUGCUAACGUCAGCACAACAUACCACGUCAUCAAAAUGGAAAUGACCUAUUUAGCCCUAUAUAUGAUUAGUGAUAGUAAUAUGGUCUUUUAUCUAUAGCAAUGCACAAGCAUUGGAUUGGUAAAUGUUAAAUUCUUCAAGUAGGCUAAGGCUCUAUUUGAGAGCUGGAUACUCUGAGAAGCAAUUGGUUAGUCUAGAUAAAGUAAAUUAUUUAUUUCUGAAUUUUGUAGCUACUAAGUCGAAUUUAAACUGUUGGGUUAAUAGGUGUAGUUGUAGCGGCUAGAAACUCCCCGAACAUACCAACGAUCAUCUAUCUCAAGAUUCUACAAAAUAUUAACUGCAAGAAGUAAUUCAAAAAUUCAAGAAGGGUGGUGCACAUUUUCCAACAAUCUGGAGAACUUAAGUUCAUCCUUCAUAAAGUUCUCAAAACAGCUCCAAAUCCCACGGCCUAAUCUUGCUCCAGAUGCAUUGCAAUCCGAAAACUUUUAGCUAGCCCAAUUCCAAUCUCUACAUAAUUCCCUCCCCCUUUGGCUCAUAAUUAUCCUGAGCCACCAAUAUACACAGUUACACCACAUAUAUAGAUAUAUUUGGUUUCCUGUAAGGAUGCCAAAAUUUCUCCAUUUUUUUUUCAUAAUUUUUUCCCUACUCCGGCGAUGCUAGGCGGCGGCUACGGCGCCGCUGUUGCCGGACUUGUCAGAGCCGCCGCCGCCUUCCCGCUGGAAGCAUUUCUUCUCGUUGAGCUCAUCCAGGUUCAUCUGCUGUUGCCUGCACUCAUGGCUGCAGAAGGCCACUUCACCCCUGAAUGAAUUCAAGAACAAAAACUCAAUUAUGAUUCAUUUACCAAAAAAAAAAGUAAUAUGGGUAGUUUGAUUAAUUAAUGAACUAUCUUCUUGUUAGUUAAAGAAGGGCAGAUCAGCUACUGUGAUAGCCUUUUUCUCUUUUCAAAAAAACUGCCACUUGCAUGCACACCAAGAAAGGGGAAAUUUUGAUUCUUUUUCCUUCAGAAGAAAAGGGGGGAAAAUGCGUUCUUUGUUCAUCCGACCGAUGCAAAAGAGUGAGUGACACAAAAGGUAUUUUGAUGAUUAGCCAUGCCCAUGACUGUAUAUCCAAUCAUGCAAACCAAACGGAGCAACUGAUUCCUUUUUUUACAUCCUAUUUGUACUUGAUUCUUGCAAACGGAGCGGCACCGCACAAGUGUCACAUUCAUGCAUACAUACAACACAGUAUUUAUUAAUCGCAAAAAAAAAAGAGAACGAUUAUAAAGACAGGCUGCGUUUAGUUAAAUCCAAAGUUUGAAUUUUGGUUGAAAUUGGAGAUGAUGUGACUGAAAAGUUGUGUGUGUAUGACAGGUUGAUAUGAUGGAAUUUUGCAAGAUCCAAAGUUUGGAUCUAAAUACACCCUAUAGGGAGAAUCAAACGCAAUGAACAGACGGAAUAUUCUACCAAAACAGGAAGAAUCUGAUCAAACAAGAACUCAUUUCAACUUAGGAAAAGGCACAGAUCGAAAUAUGUUUUUUUUCCUCAACAUAAUAUCAGAUCAUCCAAAACUACUACUAGUACAUAUCCAAGAACAAAAUAAUUAAGGAAGACCGGCAUAAACCAGUCAAUCCCUUAAUCUCAAGAUCAGCAAGAACUAGCUCAAACAAACCAAAACUGAUCAAAAUAACCGCAAAUCUUUUGUUUGAAAAAAUAUCAAUCUCGAGGAAAGCAUGCAAGAUUUGACCAAAAUAAGAGGCAAUAAAGGGAAAAAAAACAGAGCAGCUUGCUUGCUUGCUUACAUGUAAAUGAAGGUGUCGCGGCCGGGGCCGAGGCGGCGGUUGCAGAUGCCGCACGCCUUGAGGAACGCCGCCGUCUCCGCCACGGCGAAGUCGCCGGAGUGCCUCCUCUGCAUGGCGCCCCACCCGGGCGAGGGCGCCGCCGAGCCACCACCUCCGCCGCCCCUCGCCGCCCGCGCCGGCGGCUGCCUCCCCUGCUGCUCCUCCUCCUCCGCCACCGCGAACCCCGACAUGCUCGUCGUCCGCCGCAUCGAGCUGUUGUUCCUGUGCCUCUUCCCCAGCGUCGUCAUGCUUCUUUCCAAGGAUUUUUCUUCUCCUCCUCCCCUCCUCUCCUCUUCUUGGGGUGGAAGUGUUCGAGCUCGAGCUCGAGAGAGAGAGAGAGUGGGGGAGGAAGAAGAGGGAGAGAGGGGUUGGUUGUUAAAAUAGGAGGGAGGGUAGGGGAGGGAAUCUGGGUGAUCUGGGCCGUCCAUUGGAAUCUAGGGGGAUACUUUCCCUUCUCCAGACUGAUGCAACUCUUAGGGUGUGUUUGAGUAGAACGGGAUUGAUGAGAUUGAGAAGAUACGCAAAACGAGGUGAGCCAUUAGCUCAUGAUUAAUUAAGUAUUAACUAUUUUAAAUUUCAAAAAUAGAUUAAUAUGAUUUUUUAAAGCAACUUUUCUAUAGAAAUUUUUUGCAAAAAAACACAUCGUUUAGUAGUUUGAAAAGCGUGCGCGCGGAAAACGAGACUUAAUCUCCCCUAUCACCCUGGAACGAACAGAGCCUUACUCUAGGAAGGGUUUUGUGUUGGUAUGGUCUAUGGCUUCGAUUUCUUUUUUAUGAAUUUUGUUUUCUAAAACAUAGUACAAGCCCUCGUAAGAUAUGCGUACGCACUCCUAUGAAUACAAAACAUACACAUCCUAUCCAUAGGAGCAUCUUCGGAAAUACAAAACACACACCCUAACUCUAUGAGCAGCUCUAGAAGAAUAAACCGAUAUAUCCUAAGAUUGACGAAUGCAAAACACAAACACCCUACACUAUGAACAUCUCCAGAAGAAUAUGCAAGUAUAUCUUGAGAUUGACGAAUGCGAAACACCCACACUCUACCCUAUGAGCAUCUCCGAAAGAAUAGAUCGGUAUAUCUUGAUAUUGACGAAGUCAUCACGGACGUUAUAUCUUGAGAUUGAGAAUACAAAACACACACACCCUAUCCUAUGAGCAUUUCCGAAAGAAUAGAUCGGUAUAUCUUGAUAUUGACGAAAUCAUCACGAACGUCUUACCACUAAAAGAAUAAUUAGCCGUAAAUACGAGCAUUCAUGUCAAGUCUAUGUCUUGAACUCGGAAGAGUUGGUUUCAUCACAAGAACCAUAGCCAAUUGAGUUAAAUGUUUAUGAAUUAUAGUUUUAUAAUAAUUUUGAAUACUUUUGAUAAUAGGCAUUUCAACACUCAUGGGAUAUUUGUUCAUAUACUGUCAUCUUGGAGUAAGAGUUUUUUUUAUUCAACACUCACGAUUAAUCAACAAGAAUGGUAGUGCUAGGAAUUCCGUAAAUCAAAACAUACAUUACGAAAACCAAUAGAAAAUGCUGUACAUUCUGACUUUUUAGCAAACCAUUGAAACCAGAAAUGAGAGUAUGUGUACUUAGAGAUCGUCCUAGUUGUGCAAAGGCGGAAAAACAAUGGUUUAUUUGAAUAGUUUGUUAAAAGAAUAUCAAAAUGUACAACCCUAAUAGAGAGUAUUGGUCAGCAAUAUACUCCCUCUAGUUAUAAUCAUAUAUCAUAUAGUUCAAUGUAAUUACUGCCUUCGAUCACAUAGUUAGUACAUAAGAUCCAUCGCUAUAUAUAUCGCUGACGUAUCAACUAAUUCUCUGCACAUGACAAACACAAGUUCAGCUUUGCAACCUUUCCUCCACUUCACCUUUCUUUUAACACAUCACAUACACACACGUACCAAAGUUCAACUUUUUUCUCAUGUGUCAAAUCUAAACAAACCUUGAAAGCACAUAUGUAAUACAUAUGCAUCACAUCCUACAGUGGCUCAACUCAAGAUUCUAAGAUACAACUGAUGAUUUUUUCUUAAAAAAAGCGAGAUAGGUUUUCUAGUUUCUGACUUCAAAUUUAUCUUUUGAAUUUUUCAAACACAAACAUUGGGUAAGUCUGAAUAAUUCAAGAGGAUGAAAAAUUAGUUGUUUCAGUUAUCAGAAGCUCCUCGAAUAUAACCAAGAUAUUCCAUCCCUUCCAUUUCAAGUGCAGCCGUUAAUUCUUGUGUUCAACGUUUGACCAUUUGUUUUAUUUAAAAAAUUUUAUGAUUAAUAUUUUUAUUGUCAUUAGAUGAUAAAACAUAAAUAAUACUUUAUGUAUAACUUAUUUUUUAAAUUUUUUUUCAUAAAUUUUUUAAAUAAGAUGAACGGUCAAACGUUAUACAUUAAACAUACAAUUACAUUUAAAAAUGGAACGGAUGGAGUAAUAUAUAAGAAGCACAUAGCCAUCCAGCGACCUUUAGAGUAGCCAAUAAUGCCACGACGCAUCCCGGCGCCAUGUUCGUGUCCGGCGUGCGUGCUGCGCUUGGCCGGCCGGCACAGCUGUGCGGCGGUCGGCGAAAGGCGCCGGAGGGAGACAUCUCAAUAUCCAUCGCAUGCAUGCACAGGCCGGGCCGCGAUCGAUCUCAGCUAAGCCGAGAUGUCGUCGAUCAGUACGCCAUUUCAUCCGUAGGCACGCACAGCCAGGCAAACGACUCGACGGCGGUGUCACGCGGUACGGCGCGCGAGCUCUCGGCCUUCCAGGUGGCCAUGACGACGUACGAUAGAUCGAGAUGCCCCGGAACACGCCAAGCCGUCACCUGUCGUCGGCGAGACGAAUUGAAGCUGACGUUUCUUUUUUUUCGCUCUCGCUCUCUUGCUCUGAAAGUCUGCAUAAUUAAUCGUUCAAUUAUUUGAUUCCGUGACGGCUCAAUGCAGAGAAAAAGAUCCUCUCCCCUGCUAAAGCCUAAAAACAUAUGGUUGGCCAUGGUGUGUUCAGAAGUCAUGCAUGGUACUAAGCAGAGUAGUCACUACGUUGUCGACUAGACAGAGAAAAUUUGGUUUGUAUCAAAAUAGGACCAGAUAUUAUUUUGAAGCAUGAAUAUUAAUUUAGACGGCUACCUUUUUAUAAAUUUUUGUUGCACGUGUCAAAAUUAGUUAACGUUGUGGCUGCUUUCGUCUGCUCGGAUCUCUUAUGUCACUUGUAGGUGGAGCAUCUUUAUUCUCUGUUGAUUGAUCUUUUGUUUUUUAUAUAUGAGUUAUUAUAUUCGACACAAUUAUAUCUGUAUGUAAUUGGAUUAGUAGGUAAAAAAAGGUAUAAUCACGUUGCCCAAAUUUUUUUUUGAAAGGCUCCAAUCGUUUAUACCGCUAUUAGAGACUAAUCCUGUACCGUCCACUCCCUUGAAUUGUAAAUAGCAUCAAUGGUGACUAAUUUAAAUAUAAAACUGUAUGAAUAAUGUUUGCCUAGUCAGUGCUCACAAUACCUGCCAAAUAAAGCAACCACAGUACCACACAUACCAUAUGCAAUGAUGCAAGCAGAGACGCGAAAACGCCAUACUAGAUUCGGCGUCGCAAAAAAUCACACGUAUGCACGCACAAAGACACAAAUGGCCGGUUUACAUGAAUGUGACGAGCUCAAAAGCAAAGCUUGUGAAAAAGAGAAAGCUGAGUUCUCUCGGCCAGCAUCUUUAAUUGUGCCUCCUUUUACAUUUCUCAAUAGAUCUGUUGGUGUCACCCAUUAACUCCACUACUCCAGGACAAACUUUGCAUCAUGGGGGUAUAUCAUAUUAUCAUGUUUGGGAGAUGAUGCGAGCAAGAGAGAAAAUGGAUGAAAAAUUGCAAGGGAAAGUGAGCCAUGGAAAGAUGCAUGCAUGCAUCAGCCAUUGAAGUUGUCAUCUCUGCUAGGUGGUGAAUGGUCUACACAUUCUUGAUUCUUCACAUAAUAAUAAUAAUAAUAAUAAGCCCAUUGUCAUAGGCCAGCUGAGCCCCAUUACACGUGGCCGCCACCAAAUUGUGGGGCCAGACCUCUGGCUUCUUCUCUUUUUCACUGUCGUCUGGGCCUUCUUCAGGCAAUUUCAGGGGUUCACAUUGCCAGUGGUUCCACCAUGUGUCGCCCCCUGUCCAAUGGCUCCGUUGAAAGUUCUGAACAUGCUGCAAAUUUAUAUGCAGUUUCAGGCCAACGAAAGGGGUCCCGUGCGUUAUGGUUAAUUGGUUAUGGUCUCUUUAUGGCGCAAAACAAUGUAAAUUUUGACUCAAUUGUUUGGCACUGUCAGGAUUUCAUAAUAGUUUUGAGAGAAACGUCCAAGUGGACAAUGUUAAAGUUGUGAUACCUACCUUCCAGCCGUAAGAGCUGUUUUCUUGCUUGAUGUCGGAAGCACAACUGGAGCCAAUGUCCACCCUGAUCUUGAAAUCUUCAUACCCAAUAUCUCUCAAGUUACAACUUCUUCAUGCCUAUGAUUCCAGUAAUUAGUACUCCUAAUAAUCUAGAGAAGAUUCCCCUUAACUUUAACGACAUGAUUCAGAUAGCUGCUAUAUCUAAUUAUGUAUAGAAUGACUUAUAUUGUGAAACGGAGAAAAUAUACAGUAUACCUUUCAGUACAAACAUACACCUUUUUAAUUGACUUUAAGAUCCGUGCAGCUUAUAGGAGUGCGGAAGCAUUUACACCAUUUACAAAUAAAAAUCCCGUGGAAAAAAAUGAAUCAAUUCAUUACAAUCAGUACAAAAUAUGACUCAUCUGUUCUCUUUUAUCUCACAGAAAGGUACAACAAAACGACAAAUUUCUCUGCAGGCUAUUUACACUGAUGCACAAAUAUGGUAACGUUUAUAGCAGAGUAUGGAAAACAAGAACACUCUCUCAACUUCUUAUGGAUUUUAACUUACACAGAUAACCUAACUAUGUAGAUACUUGUCAUUUGUUUGACCAUUGGAAUUCAAUUUCCAGGUUCCUAUUAGGACCGCUUUUACUCUCUGGUAGCAAGGUGUAUUCGCCAGCAACGGAGCCCAGCAUGACAACCCGAUCGAUCUGGAUUGUCACCUUACCAAAUGAUUUCUGCAACAGCAGUUGGAGAGUGAGGAUGCGAAUACAACGGCUAAGUGCUUGGCUUACGUGCAAAAUGGUGUGUAUGCGUGCUGAAUCUUCUAUAUGAUCGUAAAAGAAACAGAUAAAUGAUCUAAGAUGGUAAAAAUAUUAUAUCCAGUAUUUUCGUACCUUUCCGAAUUUGCUAUUGUUUUUGCAGGAGAUAUGAAGCUUCUGCCCCUUUGGAGGGCUGUCAAACGCCCACGCAAAGGCUUCAUCCCAUUCAGGUGUUGCACCAGUUGAGACAAUCUGCGUUUCACAGCACGUUAGUGGAACGCAAAACAAAAGGACUAAAGCCACAGUGAUAACAAUGGUGAAUUGACAUAUGAGCUACUAUCAUUAUAAUAAAAAUGGCAAACAUCUAAUUCAAAGUGCAGAUUGUCAGCAUAAGAAAACAGACAGCCAUAAACACAAAAAGGCACUUGAAAAUAGAAGUUAUUGUAAUUUAUAGUAUUAACGAUAAUAUUGGGGACAGUUUACAUCAGCAAAAAACUUCUGUAGAGAAAUAUGUAGUAUGAUGACAACUACACCAUCUGUGAACACUUCCUACAAUCAAUGACUCCCUUUUCCUGACAGGUUGGUCAACCUUUUUUUUCAGUGCAUUUGCUGUUCACAGGUAAACGGAAAAAUCUAGAGUUGUGCUAUUUUUGUACUCCUAAAACAGUUAGGAAUUUGAUGGUUGAUUUGAGUUACGAUCCUUUACAUUGGAUAUCAGUAAUAGGAUUAGUAACCCCUGAUGGAUUCUAUCCUUAAGGCUGUGUUUGGAGGUGGGUGUUGGGAACCCAUCUCCUAUCCACGGAAAACGGAGCGGUUCAUUAACACGUGAUUAAUUAAGUACUAGCUAAAUUUUUUUUCAAAAAUGGUUCAAUAUGAUUUUUUUAAACAACUUUUGUAUAGAAACUUUUUUCAAAAAACACACCGUUUAGCAGUUUGAAAAGCAUGCACGCGGAAAACGAGAGGUGAGUGUUGGGAACUUGCUCUUGCAAACACACCCUUAACCUUGUAAAUAAUAGAAGGUCCAAGAAUUAGAAGAGGUAGGAAAAACAUUGAAACAGUAAACCUUCAACGAAAUCCAAUUGGGCUCAGCCCAAAACCCAAUGUGUGAACUCGAUAAGACUAAAAUCAGACCAGGUGGCGCAGAGUAAAAGUGGACAAAUAAAAAAACCAAUCCAAAGAAGAUUUUUUUUUUUGCGAUGAAUCCAAAGAAGAUAUUAAAAAUGUUAACUGUGGGUCGUAGCUAGUUAUCUAUUGUCAGCGUGAAUGCACAGAAUCAUACUGUGGAUCAACAGCUCUGUAAUGAAUAACAAGCAAAUCUGUCCGUACCUUUGUCAGCCUUGGCGGAUUAUUUCCAAGAGUAAGCUUGCAAAAUGCGCUAGGAUUUCCAACUGAUUGCCUUAGAUUGUUGCCACGCUUUAUAGUAACUGUCAAAGUACCAGGCAAGCACUGAAGAAGCAAUUCUGCCUUUUCUUGGAACCGAGGUGGGCCAGACUGUAUCAAGUACUGAAGUAGCGGAAUAGCCUCUGAGGCAGCAACUGACUGAGCUUUAAAUAUUUCUGCUGCACAAGCUCCCCAUGCUUGUCUAAGAAGAUACAGUGAGUCCAGUGCAGCUUCCUGGGUUGCCUCAGAACCAGUCUUGAGAGAUGUUACAAGAUGAGGAAUGCAUAAGGUAGCAGGUUCAGUGACCCUUAAGCGAGGGAAGUUACUAAGUAGAGCGUUAAGAGCCUUAAGAUACUCCUCAUUAGCACUCCCAGAUGCCCAUAUGUCCUUCUCAAUUGAAGCUGCAUGCAAAACAUUGUAAUCAGAUGUGUAAGUAAAUUCUCAGUAUGAGAAAAAAGUGCGUAUUCAAAGGUUGCCAGAAGAAAAUUGUUUUUUUUACACUGAAACUUAUACUUAAAAAUGCCUCCGUAUAAAAGCAUUAGAACAUAUACUCAAUGUAAUGCAAAGCAUAAAUGGUCAAACAACUUGAUUCUUGCUAGAUAUCGUUAAAUUAACCUGUUCAUACUAAAGGUAGUGGUCAAACAAUUAUAAUGGAAAAAUAACUAAUACAAAAUGGGUAUGACAGAAAUAAGGAAGUCUUAAUUACCAGUUAUAACUCUGACUGUUUCACUAGUGGCAUACUCUUGGAUAGUGUGGUUAUUGAAUAGAAGUUUAACAAACAUAGCUGCCUGAACAGAGGUAUCAGGAUUGCUUGAACUGAUAAGAUCCAGCAGAACCUGGACGCCACCCGAUUCUGCAACUGCCCUCUUAUUUGCUCGGCUAUACAUCACUAGAUUCUGCAAGGCACAAAUGGCUACCACUUUCAUCUCUUCAGUUGGCUGGUCUUCAAGAAGAUUUACU
Molecule: long non-coding RNA, 67785 nt
Filed under: Oryza sativa (Asian cultivated rice)
Lineage: Eukaryota; Viridiplantae; Streptophyta; Magnoliopsida; Poales; Poaceae
Description: long non-coding RNA (OSAT_LNC001106)
Rfam family: MIR812 microRNA precursor family (bases 62596-62801)
Source: RNAcentral